UUUCAAACUCAUUCUGGACUAUUGGUUGGAAUUUUUAAAAAUGACACUUAUGUGUGGGACCCAAAUCACACUGCCUAUAUGAACAAACAAACCUUGCACAACCAGCUUACGUAGAAAAGAUUCCAUAUUCUAUGUCAAUAGACUCGUGACAUCCAUGUACUGAGUCAUCAAAUGAGCCACGUUACAAAAGCCCAAGCUUCUCACUUUUUAUAAAAAAAACCUCACACAGAAAUUUUGACUGUGCCUUGAGUCUGGAACGUCAAAUUUGAUAGGAUAUAACCGUUCAUAAGCGUAUACAGUAUUCUGUAUGAAAAAAUUUCAAUUCUUCAGCUGGUGCUGGUGCAUUUGCUUAAGCAGCCAACUGGUCGCUUCAUGACCUGGCUUGCACAACUGGUAUCGCUUAGGCUAUUCCUUUAUCUCUUAAGUGAUGGAUACUUAAGCGGCCAAAAGUUGCUUAAGUGACAUGUGCAGAAGUUGCCAAUGUCAUGAAAGCAGAUACUGGGCCGCUUAAGGGGUAGCCGCUUAAGCGGUACCUGGAACUGUCAAAUACCCCAUUUAGCCCAUUUUCUCCUAUUUUUCACACAUUUUCCAGAAUUUAAAACCCUAAAAUGUGUGAUAACUUGGGAGAGAUAUUAGUAGGUGAUUUUUGCGAGAUCAUAAGCUUGGAUUACUUAUUUUUCUCUGAAUUCUUGGUAAUUUUUCAUCAAUUUCAUGGAUUAAUUUCUCAUAGUUGCCCUAAUCUUCCUAGAACAUUGGUGGGUUGAUUAUAGACCUAUUUGAGCUCAAAAUUUACCCAUUCAUGAGGGUAACUAUUCCUUGAUCAUAGAGGGACGCAUUGUUGGUUUUGAAAGAGCAAUUCUGCAAAUAGGCCCCAUAUAAGAUUUUUAUAUAAUUUUAGACCCAAGGCACAAAAUCAUAAUAUGGGUAUCAUUGUUCUCGUUUGAUGAGUAGAUUAUGAUUUUAAUAUUAUGGAAUCUUAUGGAAGGUUCUUUGAAGAGAAAAUUGAUGAUUUAACAGAUUUCUUUGGCAUCCAGGUAGGCAAGGUUUAUCCUCCCCAUAGAAUGAUCUAAUUCAUAAUAUAUUUAUGAUAUUAUGCAAGAUAUGGUAUGAGAAUUAGAUAUUAGAGAUAUAAUUGGUAUAAUUAGCAUUAUUUCGACUGUAAAGCUAUUUUAGAACCAUAAAUUAGGCAUACUUGACUCGGUUAUUCAUGUUUAGGUAGAAUUUCUAUCUUAGGGAUAAUUGUGGAUUAUUUGGCAUCUAAAAGUAAAUUUAGAUAUCUUAUCCUAGUUUGGGAUAGAUUUUGCCUUAGAACAGGCUUUAGAGAUUAGAAGUAUCCCUCUCCAACCCACUUUAGGACAAUAAUCUUGUUAGCUCCGUGUAGACCUAAUGAGCGUAUUGUAUCCUUAAAGCGGCAUAUUUUAGAGUUGAAGAGGCUAGAUUAUUGAUGUUUAUACUAGUUUGGUACUUGUGAGUUGAUAUGAGUUCUAGUUCAAGUGAUAAUUUAUUAAUAUUGAGUUCAGUUCAAGUCUGGAAGUUGAUGCCAUGGGUUUUGAUUCAUGUCAGGUAAAUGAUGAUGAUGAUUAUGAUAUGAGUUCCUAUUCGAUUCCGAUAUUAAGAGGUUAUUUAUGGUAGGUUAUGGCACAGAUAGAUUUAUGAUUAUGGAUUAAUUUUUGAUAAAUUUAUGAAAUUUUGGUCAUUUACUUUGUUGAUUGGACCUUUCGGACUUAUGGGGCCCGCGUUGGGUUAUUUAUUUUUUCAUACUCACUAGCUUAUGGGGGCCAGUCUUAUAGUAUUAUUUAUGAUUUCUUUAAUAUUAUAUACAUUCCGAUUAUUUAUUUAUAGUAUUGGAGCAUUAUUCUAGCUUCGCACUUUUACCUUGACUUAGCUUAUUUAUCUUGCAUCUUUAUUGUACUUAUAGUAUGAUUUAGCUCAGUCAGAUGAUAACGCCUAUAGAGUGCCCAUGGAAUUAAUACUCAUACUACACUUCUAUAUAUUUUUGGUAUAGAUUCGAGUACUAGUGGCCAAUGUUAACACUGAGAUUGUGUUGCAUUGAGUUUGGACAUAGGGUGAGAUCUCGGAGUCAGAGUUGCCUUUUUUCCUUUUACUAUUUAUGUCUAGUCUUUCACUAUUCAAGAAUGAUGUAUAUUGACUAUUACAACACCUAUGUUCUUUUUUCUAGAGGCUCUUGUACCUACACUACUAGGUCAUGGGAUGUUACAUUUAUUUUAUCUAUCUUUUAGACUAUCAUUACUAUUUUAAUUAUUGUUGUAAGUCUAUACUUGUAAAUUUCUCACUUUUAUGCCUUUUCCACCAAAUUUGCCCAUUUCUUAAAGCUUAGAGCUACGAUUUAGAUUACCUACUUGUAGGAUAAAGUAGGUACAUGAUUUGUAAAUCGAGUUAUGAUAAAUAUAAUAUUAGAGCCUAGGUUCACUAGUAUUAUUAAUACAAGAGCAAGUGUCUAGUAAAGUACGUGAUUGUAAAUCGAGUUAUGAUAAAUAUAAUAUUAGAGCCUAGGUUCACUAGUAUUAUUAAUACAAGAGCAAGUGUCUAGUAGAGUCCCACAGACUAGAAUCAAGACUUUUAUUUCUUAUCUUUAGGAGGUUAUAGGGCAUUCUUAGGAGUUCUUAACUUCUUUCACUCAUUUCGUGCUAAGAGUUUAAGUUGGUUUUAAAAGAUUCCUUUAGUUUUGCUCUUUCACAGAUGGCUAGGACACGUGCUACUGCUAUACGAGACGAGGAUCCUGAGUCUGAGCCUAGAUAUUCUGUUGUUGUUAGCGGAUGACAUAGAGGUCGAGGAAAUCUUAGGGAUGAAUCCCCAGCCAGGGACCAGGAUAUGUGGCCUUCACCAGAUUUAAUUCCUACUCUUGAGCUAGAGAUUUUUCUACCUCAGCCAGCGAUGGUCUAGGGACCUGGCCAGGCUCUAUUAGGGUUUAUAUAUUCUUGAGUGCUCAGGGAUACAUUGGUUCAAAUUUUGAGAUUAGUUGGUGGUGCACCGCUUGUGUAAUACCCCAUAUUUCGCUAGCAUAAUUUAAAUCUCAAUACAUGAGUAUUCAUACAUAAUUUUUUUGAAAUACUCAAUAUUCCUCAGUUUAGAGGCUACCAAGUUGUUGGAAAUUGAACUAGCUUUCCAAAGAUAUAAGAUUCACCUUAAUCCGAUAAAUGAGUAAGAAGUUAUGACAAUUUUAAGUUUCAGUAUAAAACACCGUGAUUUGGGCCCGUAGCGCAUCUCAGAGAAGUGUAAAAUCACAGUUGUCACUUUCCAGUGAAGCUCCGUGAUCAUGGUGCAUUGCGGAGGAGUCCUAUUUUACAUUUGGCAAUUUUCAGUGAGCUAACGCGAUGUCACCUCAUCACGGUGAGCUUCCAGGUCUCAACCAGUGGAAGACCGCAAUCCCACCGCAUUGCGCCAAUGGCCAAAAUGGCACUCAUUAAUUUCUAGUGGCAUGAUGCGAUCUUGGCGCGUCACGACGGAGCCAAAAAUCGGGGUUUUCAGUUUCCAUCCCAAGUUUGUAAUUUCAUUUAGGGGUAUUUGAGUCUUUUUCCACGGCCCUAAUCAACCUAAAACACGAGAUUUAACCCUUAAGUGACCUAAAUAAUCAUCAUUUAUUCAAUUUCUCUCAAAUUGAAGAUCCCCUUUCCCAAGAACAAGAAACCCUAGCUCUUAAAUUCAAGGCCAAACCUCAAGAACUCUUCAUCAAUCCUCUCAAAUUCAUUAACCCUAGUAUGUUAGAUGUUCAUCCAUGGAUCCCUUUUACCCAUGGAGCCCAAGUACCUGAUUUUAAUUACGAAUUUAUAAUCUUUUCAAGUUACUUUGAUUUUAAAUUAAGUAUUCAACCAUGAAUUGUAAUACCCUGAGAAUCCCAACCAAUAGUCGAACUAUGCUUCAAGUUCAUGAGAAAUAAAUUAUAGUGCUUUGGUGGUUUUAUGAUUGAGUUUUAUGUGUAUUAAGGCCUCAAAUAACUCCUAGCUUUUAUACGAAUCAAAAUACCCAUUACCAAUUGAGUUCUAGUAAAGGAUGCUGCUAUAGUCAGCUUCAAACGAGCAUAUUUUUUGUUAUACUAAGAAUUUUUAAGCUCAUGGCACACCAACAAAUAUAUAAUUGAAUUAUAUCUCCACGAUACCAAUUUUGCCAAAAUACGAUAUUUGAGUAAAAAGUUAUGCCCUUUUUACCAUAGAGAUGUCAGCCUGCCGAGGUUCGACGACCAGGCUGACGGACCGUUAAGCUAGUGAUGGACCGUCAACCAAAAUGUUACAACUCAAGCAAUAAGCUCAUUUUUUGGCCAUAAAAUGAUGGUUUGAGUGACGGUCAGUCACCAGAGUAACAGUCCGUCACCAAAAACAUAAACCAAGUCCGAAAAAGUGUUGUAACGACAUUUUAAUGAGAUUGUUUGGUCUUUUUCCACCCUUUUUAAACCCUAAUUCCAUCAAAUUAACUAACAUAACUCCUCAUUCAUCCUUAACAUAGAAAUUAGGGUUUCUUUCAAGAUCAUUCCCCUAGAACAAGAUUCAAACCCUUCUUCAAGAAACUAAGAAAUUCAAGUUCUUUAAGUUCAAGAACCAUCAAGAAAACAUCAAGAUUUGUGUUUCUUAAUCCAAGAACGUUCAAGAAAUGUUAAUUCUCUUUUAAUAUUAAAGCUUUAAGGUAUGUUACAUGUUCAUCGAUGGGCCCUUUCACCCAUAUACUCCAAGAAUCCAUCCUUUAUGUUUAAAAUCAUGAAAUUUCACAUUUAUAAUGAUUUGUCUCCAUAAAACUUUUAUGAUCUUGCUUAUAAAUGAUGUUUACAAUCUAUUUUCAUUGAAAGAAGCCCUUACUACAAAUUUCAUGAAUUAUGUCCAUGAACUUACAUGAAUUUUGAAUCUUUAUCAUGUUUCCAUGAAAUUAUCCUUACAUGUUUAAAUGGUGUUGUUUGUUGAAUUUAAACCCUAAUUUGUGAUCUUAGAAGUGAAAUCAUGCUAUUACUAUAAGUUUUAAAAACUAUUCCCAUGCUUAGUUUAAACCUCGAACUACAAGUGUUUGAUGAAAUGCCUAAAUGAGUGGGUUUUGAACAAUGACUACUUAUUAUAUGCUUACAAGUUAAAAUUUUGGAAUUUGUUUUCAAGUGGAAUACAUUAUAAUAUGUUUUAAAUAUUAUGGUUUCUAUAUCAUGUUCAUGAGAAAUUCGGAAUAAAUCCUUAGUUUAUGAUUUUAUUAUGUGAUCUUGCUAUCUCAUCAUGUCUAGAGAUAUCUUCUUGUUAAAGUCUUGGUCCCCAUGUAUUUGAUGAAAUGCUUAAGUGAAUAAUUGUUAACAAUAAUUUCCUUUCAUGGUUUCAAAGCUUUUAUAUGACCCUAUUGUUAUUGUUGUCGAGUCCUGGGGGUUAUGAAUACCCAAAAUUUAGCUACUUACUUAGUCUCAGUAGUUUCAGAAUAGUUUUAGACGCAUAUGAGCAUAUUCAGCCAGUUAGCCAUCGUGAUUAGUUACUUGUCCAAUUAAUCUUAGCUCAGUCCCGUAAUCAGUGUCAGUUCAGUUGGGAGUAGAAUUCAGCAUCGAGUGAGCCUAGGAAUGAGGGCUCACAUGUUAGUUAGGAAUGAGUCCUUAGAAGCAAUUCCUAAGUUCCAGAACUACAUAGCCGGUAUAGGUUAUGAGAUGUCACCCAUUAGUUAGGACUGACACUCUCAGGGAUCACCUGCUAGUUACGACUAAUCUCAAGAGUCACCCGUUAGUUAGGACUGACCCCACAACUAUUGUUAGUACCCAUGGCAUGGUACUAGCACUCUUCUAACUUUGGUUACAGGUUGGACCCCAAUCGGUUCAGAUUUAGGCAUUUCAGUUAAAUAAUACCUCCCACCAUUUCAGUUACAGUCUCAGUCUAGUAAUCAGUUUAGUAAUUCAGUUAUAGUUUGCUUGACAAUAGCAUACAGAUAUCAUACAUUCUAUUAUUAGAUUUUUGUAUUUUAUUAUUUACAGAUUUUAUUUAGAACAUGUUAUAUUCUUGGUCAUGCAUCCUCAGUACUUACAGAUUUUAUGUACUCUAUUCAGUAUUACACGUUACAUAAACUUACAUACAUACAUUCAAAUAGUUAUUAUAUAUAUUCAUGAAACCAUGCAUAUCAGCCUACCUCAUUUAGCAUACCAGUACAUUAAAAGUACUGAUCGCAUACUCUUUUUUUGUGCUAUGAUGUUUCAUAUCGUAGGUUCGAACGCUCAGGUUCUCGACUGUACGUAGUUAUCCUAGUAGACCAGUAUCAGUAGCAAUGGUGAGUCCUCACGUUUCGAGGACCAGUUAUGUUUAUUUUAGUUUCUCCGUUUGAGUAGACAGGUGGAGUUAGUUGGGGGCUUGUCCCAUCAGCUCCUCAAUUAUUCAGUUAGAGUCUUUCAAACUAGUACAGACAGUUAGUUAGUUUUUAGAUUUUAGUUGUCAUUAUCAAUUUUGUUUUAUAGACUUAUCAGAUUUAUGACUUAAAACCUUAUGGAAUUCCUCAGUUUAUUUCUAUAUAUGAUCUUUUGGUAUCAUUUUUACUCAGUACUCACAGCAGGUAACAGCUCAUGGGUUAGCUUGUGGUCCCUCGGGACUAUAAGCACCAUGUAGCACCUAGGGUGUACUUUUGAGGCGUUGUAUGAAUCUCCAUGAACUAUGAUUCUACACCAUGUAUAAAUAAAAUUUUGUUGUCAUUCAACUCCCCAUGUUUUAAUGUUAUCAUUCAUUGUAUUAAAUCAUGAUUUAGUGCUAUUCAUGCUGAAUUCAUGCUAUUACUACAAAUCCCAUAACAUUUCAAUGAUUUGAUUAAGCCACGAACUGUAAGUAUUUGAUAAAAUUCUUACAAGAAUGAGUAUUUAAUAAAGGUUUUUUAUGCUAAGUCCUCUAAGUUUAAUAUUUUGUUACUAAGUUUGAUUUUGGUCCUGGGGGUAUUGAAUACUCAAAAACCAUAGUUGUUUUACUUAUCCUUGUCUCAGUAUCUUCAGAAUAACUUCAGAAUAUAUAUUAUGAGCAUUACUAGAUCAGUCAGUUAACCUCAGAAUAGUCAGUAACUCAGCAUCAUUCAGUUGGAAGUAGGAUUUAGCACCGAGGAAGUGUAGGGAUGGUGGCUUCCCCGUUAGAUAAGAAGAGUCGCUAGUAACAAUCCCUAAAAUCUAGAACUACAUAACCAGCAUAGGAUAUGAGAAGUCACCCAUCAGUAUAGGAUUGACUAUCUCGCAGGGGUCACCCGUCAGAUUAGGCUUGAUACCCUUAGUCUUUCGGGACAACAUAGUAUACCAGUUUAGUAGAUCCACAUAGCUAGCAUUAGUACCCAUGGCACGGUACUAACACUCUUCCAACUAGGGUUACAGGUUGGACCCUAGUUAGCUAAGAUUGGGGUAUAUCUAUUAGAUGAUACCUCCCACAGUCUCAGUCACAGUCUCUGUUCAGUUAUACAGUUUAAGUUGUUUGACCAUGGCAUAUAGAUAUCAGUGAUUCAAUAUCAGAUUUUAGUAUCUACAGACUAUAUUCAGAAUAUGUUAUAUGCUUGGUCAUGCAUUUUUAGUAUCUACAGCCUUUCAUAUAUACUCAAUAUUUAUAGAUUUCACUUAUUCCCAUGUAUCUAUAGAUUUUAUGCACUCUACUUAGUACUUCACAUCUUAUAUGUACCUUCAAAUUAUUAUUAUUCCUAUUCACAAAACCACACACAUUAGCCUACCUCAUUUUGCAUACCAGUACAUUUAAAGUACUGAUCGCAUACUCUUUUUUCGUGCUAUGAUGUAUUAUAUCAUAGGUUCCGAUGUCUAGUUCCCAGAUCGCUCAUAGAUUUUACAGGCCCUCAGCAGUAGUAGUGGUGAGUCCUCAUAUUUUGAGGACAAAUUAUUUUAGUUCAUGUCUCUAUUUUUGUAGUUAGUGAAGUUAGUUGGGUCCUGUACCAUCAACUCUCAGUUAGUCAGUUUAGAUGAUUUUCAGAUACUAUAAUCAAUUAUUUAGUAUUUAGACUUCAGUUGACAUGUCAGUUAGUUAUUCAGUUUAUCUCAGAUUUUAGUAUUUAUUCAGACUCAAAUAGUUAUUUUUUUCGAUUCAUAAUUCAAUAUUUGUUUCAAUUAUUAAAACCUUAUGGCACUUCAGUUAUUUUUUUGCAUUUAGGGUUAUGUUAUUCAGUGCUCACAGCAGGUACCAACUCAUGGGUUUACUUGUGGUCUCUCAUCACUGUAAGCACCGUGUGACACCGAGGGUGUAAUCUCGGGGCAUUACUAACUUGGUAUCAGAGCCUAAGGUUUUAAAGUGUCCUAGGAAGUUUGAAAGCCAUGUCAAGUAGAGUCUUGUGCAUGGGUGUAUAGCACGCCACACUUAUAGGUAAAAUACUACAAGGCAUUUAGGAAAAAGUUUCCCUUCUUUCAGUAUUCAUAUCGUGUGACUGAGCAUUAGCUCAUGUUAAACGCUCUGUAUAAUCUAAUCUUCCUUCUAUUUACAGAACAUGCCUCCCAAAAAGAAUAACAAAAUAGGAGUAGGAAACCAGCCAACACCUCUACCCGUCCAGGCAGAUCCUCUGGAUGAACAUAUUUCUCAUACAGAAUUCAAAGCUGUAUUCACCACUCUAGCGAACUUUGUAUCAUCUCAGAAUAAAUGGCCAGCUGCUAUUCAAGCUAACCCAGUGGCCAAUACUGCUAAAGUCAGGAUUCGGGACUUCACCGAAUAAACCCUCCUUCCUUCACGGGGUCCAAGUAUGAAGAGAAUCCAUAAGAAUUAUUAGAUGUGGUAAAGAAGGUAACAUAUAUUGUGGGGAUAAAAUCUAGUGAGAGUGUUAUGUUGGCUACAUAUCAAUUAUAGGAUGUAGCCCAUACAAGGUUUAAGCAGUGGAAGGUAGAUAGGGGUGUUGAUGUAGGGCCUGUAGAAUGGAAAGAGUUUUCUACAACUUUCUUAGAUAUAUUCUUCCCAUUGGAGUUGAAGGAGGACAAGGUGUUAGAAAUUAUUAACUUGAGGUAGGGAAACAUGAGUGUGAAGGAGUAUUCCCUCAAAUUUACUUAGUUAGCUAGAUAUGCUCCUCAUGUAGUAGCUGAUAGUAGGUCCAAGAUGAGUAAGUUUGUGUCUGGUGAAUCUGAAAGUAUGGUCAAGGAACGUAGGACCACAAUUCUAAUUAGAGAGAUAGACUUGUCUAGGCUGUUGGUUCAUGCUCAACAGAUAUAGGAGUAGAAGAUUAAAAAGAAAGAGAGGGGGGAUCAAGAAGGUUAGAACAUGUAGUUUUAAUUUCAGUCAGCCAAGGUUAAAAGGUGGUAACCAUCCCCAAUUCCAUUAGAGGUCUUUAGCCCCAACACCCUUUUCAGCCAGUGCCCUAGUACCCAAAUUCAGAAAUGAUAAUAGGGAUAGGGCACCAGGCUCUAUGUCCCAAGGCAGUGUUAACAGUGCCCAUACAAAACCUCUAUAUCAAAAAUAUGGCAAACACCAUCAGAGUGAGUGUAGAGCGGGCAGUGAUAUAUGCUUUGUGUAUGGAAAACUAGGUCAUCGAAUUCAAGAAUGUCAGGUAGUUACUCAGAAAGGUAGAGAGUUGCGCCAACAGGGCCAGUCCCAUCAGUCGUCAAUUCCAGUCGGUUGCCUGACUUAGCAGGGUGCCGCUUCCAAUGCUACUACGGGAUAGUGUUCGAAUGGAUUAUAUGCUCUUCAGUCCCGCCAAGAUCAGGAAAACUCUCCUGACAUAGUUACCGAUACGUUGCAUGUCUUUCAUUUGCAUGUUUAUACUUUACUAGACCGUGGAGCUUUUCUUUCUUAUAUAACUCCAUAUAUAGACGUCAAAUUCAGAGUCAAUCUUGAAACUUUAGUAGAACCUAUUUCAGUGUCCACCCCAGUAGGUGUCUCCAUCGUGUCCAAGCAGGUAUAUAGGAAUUGUCCAGUCAUAAUAUCUUAGAAAGUUACUUCAGUUAAUCUCGUGGAGUUAGAAAUGAUGGAUUUUGAUGUUAUUCUUGUCAUGGAUUGGCUCCACUCAUGCUAUGCCUCAGUUUUUUGUACGAACAAAAUAGUUCAUUUUUCGUUCCCAAAUAAACUAGUCCUUGAAUGGAGGGGUAGUACUACAACUCUUAGGGGUCAUCUUAUUUUGUACCUUCGAGCAAGAAAAAUGAUAUCCAAAGGGUGUAUUUACCAUCUUGUUCGAGUCAAAGACUCUAGUUCAAAAACUUCAACUCUUGAGUCAAUUCCAGUUGUAAAUGAAUUCUCAGAUGUAUUCCUGAAGAUCUUCCAAGAGUUCUUCCUGAAAGGGAGAUAGACUUUGGAAUAGACCUUCUUCUAGAUACUUAGCCUAUCUCUAUUCUGCCAUAUAUAAUGGCUCCAAUAGAACUUAGAGAGUUAAAGAAAUAGUUAAAGGAUCUUCUAGAUACAGGAUUCAUCAGACCCAAUGUCUUUUUAUGGGGUACACUAGUUUUAUUCAUGCAUAAGAAAGAUACUUCUCUUAGAUGUGUAUUAACUACCGUCGGUUGAACAAAGUCAUAGUCAAGAAUAAAUAUCCACUUCCUAGAAUUGAUGACCUGUUUGACCAACUUCAGGGUGCCAGCUAUUUUUCUAAGAUAAACCUCAGAUCUGGCUAUCAUCAACUCAGAGUCAGAGAAUAUGACAUUUUGAAAAUAGCUUUCUAAACUCAGUAUGGUCACUUUGAAUUUCUAGUCAUGUCCUUUGGUCUUACAAAUGCCCCAGAAGCCUUCAUGGACGUGAUGAACCGAGUGUUCAAGCAGUACUUGGACAUGUUCAUCAUAGUCUUCAUUGAUGACAUUCUUUUUUACUCUCGUAGCAAAAAUAAUCAUGCAGACCACCUCAAAAUAGUACUUUAGACUCUCAAAACUCAUCAAUUAUUCACCAAAUUUAGUAAGUGAAAAUUUUGGCUAAGGUUAGUAGCAUUCCUUUGUCAUAUUAUUUCCGAUGAUGGCAUUAGAUUUGAUCCUUAAAAUAUCAAAGCGAUGAGAAACUGGAUCAGACCUAUUUUUCCAUUAGACAUUAGGAGUUUCUUGGGUUUGGCUGGCUAUUAUCAUUGGUUUGUUGAAGGGUUUUUAUCUAUUGCAUCCCUCAUGUCCAAAUUAACUCAGAAGAAAGCCAAGUUUCAGUAGUCAGAUUCCUGCCAGAAGAGUUUUUAGGAGUUGAAGACUCGACUCACCUCAGCCCCAGUUCUUACUUUGCCAGAUAGUUCAUACGGGUUUGUUGUGUACUGUGAUGUAUCCAGAGUAGAUUUGGGUUGUCUCCUCAUGAAGAAAGGUAAGGUUAUAGCCUAUGCCUCUAGACAGAUUAAACCCCAUGACAAGAAUUAUUCAAUUUAUUAGCUUGAGUUAGCAGUAGUAGUAUUUGCCUUAAAGAUUUGGAGGCAUUUCUUGUAUGGGGUGCAUGUUGAUGUGUUCAUAGAUCACAAGAGUUUAUAGUAUGUGUUCUCUUAGAAAGAUUUAAAUUUGGAUCAGAGAAGGUGGUUAGAGUUAUUAAAAGAUUAUGACAUGAGUGUUCUGUAUCAUCCGGGCAAGGCUAAUGUAGUAGCUAAUGCUCUCAGUAGAGUGUCUAAGGGUAGUAUUGCUCAUGUUGAGGAUGGUAAGAGAAAGUUAGCUCAGGAAGUUCAUNNNNNNNNNNNNNNNNNNNNNNNNNNNNNNNNNNNNNNNNNNNNNNNNNNAGUUAGAGUUAUUGAAAGAUUAUGACAUGAGUGUUCUGUAUCAUCCGGGCAAGGCUAAUGUAGUAGCUAAUGCUCUCAGUAGAGUGUCUAAGGGUAGUAUUGCUCAUGUUGAGGAUGGUAAGAGAAAGUUAGCUCAGGAAGUUCAUUAGUUUGCCUGACUAGGUGUCCACUUAGUCGAUUCAAUAGAAGGUAGUGUAUGGGUGUAGAGUAGUUCAAAAUCAUCUCUAGUUUCCAAUGUGAAGGAAAAAUAGGAUAGGGAUCCCAGCCUAGUUAAGUUGAAAGAAUCAGUCAGAGAUCAGAAUGUGGAGGUUUUCUCCCAAGGAGGAGAUGGUGUUCUGCGUUGUCAAGGUCGACUAUGUGUACCUGGUGUAGAUGAUAUAAGGCAACAAACUCUCGCAGCAACGCAUGGUUUGUGUUACUUGAUUCAUCCAGGUUCCACUAAGAUGUAUCGUGAUUUAUGGGAAGUCUAUUAGUAGAGUGGGAUGAAGAGAGAUAUUCUAUAGUUCAUAGAUAAAUAAUCUACAUAUCAACAGGUUAAGAUUGAUCGUCAGAAGCCAAGUGGAUCCAUGCAGAAGUUCAGUAUUCCCAUUCGUAAGUAGGAGGAAGUGAACAUGACUUUUGUGAUAGGUUUGCCUCGUACCUAUUAUCAACAUGAUUUUAUUUGGGUUUUCGUAGAUAGGAUGUCCAAAUCAACUUAUUUCUUGCUAGUCCAUACCUUUCAUUCAGCCGAGGACUAUGCCAAACUCUAUUUCAGAGAGUUGGUUAGGUUGCACGAUGUUCCCUCAUCUAUCAUCUCAGAUAGAGGUACCUAGUUUACCUUUUAUUUCUGGAAAGCAUUCCAAAAAGGUCUUGGUACCUAAUUCCAUCUCACCAUAACCUUCCACCCUCAGACAUAUGGUUAAGCAGAAAGGACCAUCCAGACUCUUGAAGAAAUGCUGAGAGCAUGCAUAGUUGAUUUUAAAAGUAGUUGGGAUGACUACUUUUCUUUGAUCGAAUUCGAAUAUAAUAAUAGCUAUCAUUCCAAUUUCUAGAGGUCUCCAUUUGAGGCUCUUUGUAGGAGGAGAUAUAGAUCUACGAUUGGUUAGUUUGAAGUGGGUGAGGCUGUAGUAGUAGGGCCUGACUUGGUUUUUAAUGCAUUAGAAAAGGUCCAGUUGACCAGAGAAAGGCUUAAAGCAGCCCCAAGCCGACAGAAAUCCUAUGCAGAUGUGAGGAGAAAAGAUCUGGAGUUUCAGGUCGGUGAUUUUAUUUACCUAAGGAUCUUGCCCAUGAAAGGAGUGAAGAGGUUCAGAAAGAAGGGAAAUCUCUGUCCCUGAUAUGUUGGUCCCUAUAAAAUUCUCAGUCAUUUCGAAAAGAUAGAUUAUGAUGUUGAGUUGCCUUCAGAUCUAGCUUCAGUACACCCAGUGUUCCAUGUUUUAUUGUUGAAGAAGUGUAUCACUGAUCCAAUAGUCGUCAUUCCCUUAGAGAGUGUAGAUUUUCAAGACAGUCUUUCCUACGAGGAAGUCCCAGCCAAAAUUCUCGACCGUUAAGUUCAUAGACUAAGGAACAAAGAAGUUCCACUAGUCAAAGUUCUUUAGCAAAAUCAGUCCGUUGAGGGUGCUACUAAGGAAAUAGAAGCAGAUUUAUAGACCAAGUACCUCAUCUUUUAUCCGCAAACUCGAAUUCAGUCUAAGGUAUUCAUCUCCUUAAAAUUUCUCUUUAUCAUGCUCAGUUUUAGUUGCACAUCAUGUUCAUAUCAGUCAUGCAUUCAUGAAUCAUUUAAGUCAUGUAAUCCAUGCAUCAGAUAUGCAUGUUCAGUGUGUAAUCUCAAUCCAUCAGUUUCUCAGCUUAAUCAGUCUUAUUUGAGGAUGAAUGAUCCCAAGGGGUAGAUGUUAUAAUACCUCUUAUUUCCCUAGCAAAAUUUAAAUCUCAGUACAUGAGUAUUCAUACAUAAUUUUUUUGAAAUAUUCAAUAUUCCUCAGUUUAGAUCCCACCAAGUUGUGGGAAAUCGAACUAGCUUUCCAAUGAUAUAAGAUUCGCCUUAAUCUAAUAAACGAGUAAAAAGUUAUAGAGAUUUUAAAUUUUAGUCAUAAAGCACCAUGAUUUGGGCCCGUAGCGUAUCACGGAGAAGUGUAAAAUCACAAUUUUCACUUUUUAGUGAAGCUCCAUGAUCAUGGCGCAUCGUGGAGGUGUCCCAUUUUACAUUUAGCAAUUUUCAGUGAGCCAAUGCGAUGUCACCACAUCACGGUGAACUUCCAGGUAUCAACUAGGGGGAGACCGCAAUCCCACCGCAUCGCGUCUAUGGCCAAAAUAGCACUCAUUAAUUUCCUAUGGCCCGACGUGAUCUUGGUGCGUUGCACCAGAGUCAAAAAUCUAGGUUUUUAGUUUCCAAUCCGAGUUUAUAAAUUUGAUUAGGGGAAUUUGGGUCUUUUUCCAUAGCCCUAAUCAUCCUAAAACAUGAGAUUUAACCCCUAAUUGACCUAAAUAAUUAUCAUUUAUUCAAUUCUUUUCCAUCAAUCCUCAAAUUCAAGGCCAAACCUCAAAAACUCUCCAUCAAUCCUCUUAAAUUCAUUAACCCAGGUAUGUUAGAUGUUCAUCCAUAGAUCUCUUUCACCCAUGGAGUCUAAGUACCUGAUUUUAAUUACGAAGUUUUAAUAUUUUCAAGUUACUUUGAUUUUAAAUUAAGUAUUCAACCAUGAAUCUCCAUGAACUAUGAUUCUACACUAUGUAUAAAUGAAAUUGUUGUUAAUCAACUCCCCAUGUUUUAAUGUUAUCAUUCAUUGUAUUAAAUCAUGAUUUGGUGCUAUUCAUGCUGAAUUCAUGCUAUUACUACAAAUCCCAUAACAUUCCAAUGAUUUGAUUAAGCCAUGAACUGUAAGUAUUUGAUAAAAUUCUUACAAGAAUGAGUAUUUAAUAAAGGUUUUUUAUGCUAAUUCCUCUAAGUUUAAUAUUGUUUUACUAAGUUUGGUUUUGAGUCCUGGGGGUAUUGAAUACCCGAAAACCAUAGCUGUUUUACUUAGCCUUGUCUCAGUAUCUUAAGAAUAACUUCAAAAUAUAUAUUAUGAGCAUUACUAGAUUAGUCAGUUAAACUCAGAAUAGUCAGUAACUCAGUGUCAUUCAGUUGGAGUAGGAUUUAGCACCGAGCGAGUGUAGGGGUGGUGGCUUCAUCGUCAGAUAGGUAGAGUCGCUAGUAAUAGUCCUUAAACUCUAGAACUACGUAGGCAGCGUAGGAUAUAAGAAGUCACCCAUCAGUAUAGGCUUGACUAUCUUGCAGGGGUAACCUGUCAGUAUUAAUACCUGGUAUGGUACUAAUACUCUUCCAGCUGGGGUUACAAGUUGAAACCCAAUUAACGUAGAUUGGGGCAUGUCGGUUAGAUGAUACCUCCCAUAGUCUCAGUUCAGUUAUUCAGUUUUAGUUGUUUGACCAUGGCAUUUAGAUAUCAGUGAUUCAGUAUUAGAUUUUAGUAUCUACAGACUAUAUUAAGAACAUGUUGUAUGUUUGGCCAUGCAUUUUCAGUAUUUAUAGCCUUUCAUACAUACUCAAUAUUUAUAGAUUUCACUUAUUCCUAUGUAUCUACAGAUUUCAUGCGCUUUAGUUAGUACUUCAUGUCUUAUAUGUAUAUUUAGAUGGUUAUUCUUCCUGUUCAUGAAACCAUGCAUUUUAUCCUACCUCAUUUAGCAUACCAGUACAUUUAAAGUACUGAUCACAUACUCUUUCUUUUGUGCUAUGAUGUAUUAUAUCAUAGGUUCCGACGUCCAGUUCCCAGAUCGCUCAUAGAUUUUACAGGCCCUCAGUAGUAGCAGUGGUGAGUCCUUAUAUUUUGAGGACAAAUUAUUUUACUUCAUGUCUCUAUUUCUGUAGUUAGUUGAGUUAUUUGAGGCCUGUCCCAUCAACUCUCAGUUAGUCAGUUUAGAGAUUUUUCAGACACUAUAGUCAUUUAUUCAGUAGUUACACUUCAGUUGACAUGUCAGUUAGUUAUUCAGCUUAUCUCAAAUUUUAGUAUUUAUUCAAACUUAGAUAGUUAUUUCUUCAGAUUUAUAGUUCAGUACUUGUUUCAGUUAUUAAAACUUUAUGGCAUAACAGUUAUUCUUAUGCAUUUAUGGUUAUAUUAUUCAAUUCUCAAAGAAAUUACUAGCUCAUGGGUUAGCUUAUGGUCCCUUGGGAUUGUAAGCUAAGUGUGACGCCCAGGGUGUACUCUCGGGGUAUUACAACUUGAUGGUGCACAAUUUGCAGAUUAAAGUGGUACUGAGGUAGGGGCGUAGCCUAUAACUGCGACUUCCAGAGUUGAAGUCCCUUUCAUGAUGAUAGUUAUUCAGUCGGUGCUUGCCCAACUUGCUAUGUCUGUUGAAGAGCAGAAGAUGUUGGGUAGGUUUUUGAGAUUGGCUCCGCCUAGGUUUUUUGGUGCACCGGAUGAGGAUGCUAAUGAGUUUUUGAUUGCUUGGGAGGAUAAACUCUAUUAUUUAGGAAUUAUUGAGACUCGUGGUGUGGAUUACACUAAUUUUUAGUUAGAUUUGGCGGCUCAACAUUUUUGGACAAGUCAUCUUGAUUCUAGGCCAGCUGGAUCUCCCCCUUGACAUGGACUAAGUUCUUUGAGGUCUUCUUGGAGAAAUAUAUGCCUCACAGUCUUAAGGAUUAUUUGAGGGAUCAGAUCUUGAGGUUGGAGUAGGGAUCUAUGCCUGUUGUGGAGUAUGAGACUCAAUUUUACGAUUUGAGUAGACAUUCUAUAUCUAUUCUACCUAUCGAGUAUGAGAGGGUUCGAUGCUUUGUUUUAAGAUUGAGACUUUUUUUCUGCAUGUCUACAUAGAGUUUGGUUAUUGUGGGUAGAUAUUUUGCUGAGGUUUUUAAUCAUUUGCAGGUUAUAGAGGAGAUGCAUCACGAGGCCCAAGGGGUAGCAAUAAGAGACCAAAAUAUCAAGGUAGUUUUAAUGGGAGCCAUAGUGGCUCAUAGUUCAGAAGCAGUGGUUCUCAGAGUAGGUACCCUCCGUGUCAGUCAUAUCAGCAUUAAGUUCAGUCUAGUAGGCUCAUUUAGGCCAAACUUUAGAUUAUUGAUGGAGUCUAUUCUAGUUACUAUAAUUAUACUAUCCAAGGUAGUGGUCUUUCUUCAAGGGGUUCGUCUUCUAGGUAUUUUAGUCAUGGUGGUUAUUUCGAGCCAGUCGGAUCUUUUAGUUUUAGUGUAGCGCCUUGGGCAUGUUAUGGUUUUGGGCCUUUGUCUAUUCUUGUAAGAGUUCCCCAAUCAUAAAGCAAUGGUUCCUUCGGUUCAAAGUGCUUCACCAAUUAGGGUAGCUUUGUCUCCAGUUAAAGGUGGUAUGCAUGGUUGUUGGGGUGGUCCUUAGGGUGUUCGUGUAGGUCCUCAGGCAGGUAGGAUAAGAAAUCUGUUAGUAGCCUAGUUGGGUGGUGAGAGUAGACAGUUGUAUGCCAUACCUGCUAGACUUGAGACUGAGUCUUUGGAUGAUGUCAUUAUAAGCACGAUUUCAGUGUGCCAUAACCCGACUUUUACUUUAUUUAAUUUAUGAUCCACUUAAUCUUAUAUGUCUUCUUUUUAUGCCUUGUGGUUAGAGUUAUCUUGGGAUUCUUUAUUUGUGUCAUUAUAUGUGUCUCUCUCUUGGGUGAUUCUUUAGUAGUGGAUCGAGUGUAUAGAUCAUGUGUUGUGAUUGUUCAAGAGUUUGAUACUCAAGAUGAUCUUCUUGUAUUAGAUAUGGUGGACUUUGAUGUAAUUCUAGGCAUGGACUAGCUAUCCCACUAUUAUGCAGUCUUGGAUUGUUUUUCUAAAACCAUUAUCUUAGCCAUGCUAUGUAUAUUUGCGGAUGUAUGGCAGGGAUCUAUUAGCCACGAGCCGACAAGGAUUAUUUCUUAUAUUUGGGAUAGGAGACUUAUUUUGAGAGGUUAAGAGUAUUAGCUCGCUUAUAUUCGCGAUGUUAGUGUGGGCAGUCUGUCACUUUACUCUAUUCGUAUAGUUCGUGAGUUUCCUGAUGUUUUUCCUACUUAUCUACCUGGUCUUUCUCCUGGGUAUGAUAUUGAGUUUGUUAUUGAUCUUGAGUCGGGCACCCGACCUAUUUCUAUGGAACCUUACCAUAUGGCUCCUACCAAGAUUAAGGAGAUAAUUCUCAAGUUUAGGAUUUUUUUGGUAAGGGUUGAGGUAGACGAGUGUGUUGCCUUAGGGAUCUCCUGUCUUGUUUGUAAAGAAGGAGGACAGUUCCUUGUGUAUAUAUGUAUUGAUUAUAGGUAGUUUAAUAAGGUGACAGUGAAGAACCGAUAUACUAUGCCUUGCAUUGAUGAUUUGUUUGACCAGCUUUAGGGAGUAGCUGUGUUCUCUAAGAUUGAUUUGAGGUCCGGUUACUAUCAAUUGAGGAUUAAGGUUUAAGAUAUCUCAAAGACAACCUUUAGGACCCGUUAUGGCCAUUAUGAGUUCCUAGCGAUGUCUUUUGGGUUGACCAAUGCCCCAACCACAUUUAUGGAUUUGAUGAGUCACGUGUUCAGGACUUAUCUAGAUUUUUUAUAAUUGUGUUCAUCGAUGACAUUAUUGUGUAUUAAAGGAGUAGAGAGGAGUAUGUGUAACAUUUGAGGAUUAAGCUCCAAACUCUGAGAGAUCAUCAGCUGUUUGCCAAAUUCUCUAAGUAUGAGUUUUGGCUUGAGUUGGUGACAUUCCUUGGGCAUGUGGCGUCCAAGGAUGCGAUUAUGGUGGAUCCAACAAAGAUUGAGGCAAUUCGUGAUUAGGACAGGUCUGCAUCUCCAUCUGAGGUUUAUAGCUUCAUUAAUUUGGUCGAUUACUAUCGAUGGUUUGCUGAGAGUUUUGCUACUAUUGUUAUACUGAUGACCAAAUUGACUUGAAAGGAGGUUCCUUUCUAGUGGUCCGAUGAGUGUGAGUCAAGCUUCGGGAAGCUCAAGGGAUUUCUCACUUUAGCUCCUAUUUUGUCUCUCCCUAUUGAGCAUAACGGAUUCACGUAUAUUGUGAUACUUUAGGUUUUGGUUUAGGUUGUGUGUUGAUGCAACAACAUAGUAGAGUUAUUGCUUAUGCAACGAGGCAGCUGAAGGUGCAUGAGCGCAACCACCCACUCAUGAUUUAGAGUUAGCGGCGGUAGUUUUUGAACAUAAGAUUUUGGAGACGUUAUCUUUAUGGCGUUGUCACGACCCAAUUUCUUAAGUUAUGAUGGCACCUACCUUACCCCACUUGUAGGAAAGCCAAUCCAUAGCUCAAAACAGUAGGUAACGGGCUAAUGAAAAGAAAUCAUGAUAAGACCAUAUAUAAUGAAAAUAAUAGUAAUAAUAGGCAAAAAACAGAAAAGAAUCAUAUAAAGUAUAUCAAAUGAGAGAAGAAAAAAGACCGAAAUAUAUAAACGAACCCCUCCCAAGACCUGGUAAGGUCGGUACUAGAGAUACUACUAAAAGAUACUAGAGUACUAGACAGAAUUAAAAAUAUACACAAUAUAUACAAGUAGUCUCGAGUACAAAAGACUAAACUGGAAUAGAUAGAGGAGGAUCAGCCUUGGAUGACAACAAGCUCACCCUGCUCUAGAUUAAUAUUGGAAAAUAGGAAUCAACUCAACGCCGACUGCUAGUACCCGAAUCUACAUCAGGGUAAAGAUGUAGAAGUAUAGUAUGAGUACCAAAGAAAUGGGUACUCAGUAAGCAUCAUCAGCUGACUGAGUUCAAUACAGGAAAAACAUAACUAAAAUGCAAGGAUGUAGUCUAAGUCAAUGGUAAAUAGAGAUAAAAAGGUAAAAAACUAUCGAGAUACGUAAAUGGGAUAAAGGAAUAAGUAAAAGCGAUAUAAGAAUAUAAAUAAUGCAGUAAUAAAAGACAAACCAAACAUGACCUAAAUGGCCCCGCAUAAGCCCGACAUUCACACUGAAGAAGACAAUUAACCCAACCGUGCCUCCAUAAGCUGGUGGGACACACAAGAAGUAUUUAUAGAAAAUAAACAUUAGUAAUACAUAAUUGAAACAAUCCAAAAAUAUCAUAGUAUUUGUCCAAAUGUGCACUAGGCUUGAAUCGACACCAAUGGAUAGUAUUGAGAGGCCAGACACCAGGUUCGAACCGGUAGUGAUGGAUAAUAACAAAAUGCCAUACGCCCGGUUUGAGCUAAAAAUUAUAUGUAACAAUGAGCAGCCACAUAUAUGAUAUACAACAUAACUCAUAAUCAGAUGUCGUACUCAAAUAAGAAUUCAGAUAAACCACAACUCCUAGAAUAACAAUAAUCAAUACCAGAACUCCCAACUCAUCAUAACCACAUACCGAACUCGAUCCUGAACUUAUAGUAAUCAUACUCAACAAUAAAAUUAAAACCCCAACCAUACUAGAACCAAUGACACAAUGUGCAAAAUUUCACUGUAAAUGAUAGAAAUAAAGUAUAUGCUGACCCUAAACCGUAGUGAAAAUACAUUUAAAUAACCAUUCAUGUUAAUUAAUAAAAAGGAGAUGAAUCAAAUGUUAUACAACUUAAAUACCUCAUCUUAAGCUCAUAAAUACUACAUUAUACUAAAAGAUAAUGAAACAAAAAUUUACUAGAACAGAUCCUAACCGGAUAAAUAAGGCAUGAUAUCUAUAUCAAAUACUAUGCAAACUAUAAUUGCCUGUCUAAAACUAGCAUAAUAGCACACAAUUACCACAAAUAAGAUCAAUCUGAAGAUAGAGUAAGUCUAACCUACCCUGAAGCCAAAGCUAAAAUAUCUCCCCAAGAAGCCUCCAAAUAGUGCCACUAGAACCCAAGCUUGAAUAACUUGAUUUAUUUUUAGAAAUUAAAUACAAGAAGUAAACUUUUUCUCACAACACUUAUGUUGAUAUGCGUAAGUGUAUAUGAAGUAACAAAGCAAGUAUAUUGCAUUUGAUAAUAGUGUAAACAUUCUAAUAUUAAAGAUCCUAUAUUAAUUUACUAAAGAAACUCUUAAAUACUCCACCACUUCCAGUAAUUCUUAAGUGGCUACUAAUUAGUCAAGGUAGGUAUUAAAUUCCAUUUAAGCUAAUUUCUGUAACCUCCCUUUUCUUCUAUGUGAAAAUGGAGUUGCAAUAAUCACUUUUGAAAUUGUACUAUUAUGUAUAUAUUCGGGUAUUGCAUAGGUUUGUUGUAAAAUAGAUAAUAUAUUUUGAAUAUGUGUUAGUUAAUUAAAAAUUAUUUUUAAUAAAACCUCUAUUAUGUAAUAAUAAUAAUAAUAAUAAUAGUAUUUUAACAUAUCUAGAUUUACUCUCUCCGCUUAAAAUAUUAAUAGACUAUAAAAGCUAUUAUAAAGUAACAUAAAUAUAUCAUUAUUAAAAAAAUUCAUCAAUAUCAAAAAUAUUUUAGAAGGAUGAUAAAUUAUAUUUCUACCAAAUGCCAAUUUUGAUUAAUAUUUCACAAUAUAUUUCAUAUCACUAAAAUUCUCAAACGAACCAUCCUAAAAACUGAACAAUUAGUCCCAAGAAGUCAUAAAUAACUUGGGGAAGUUAUAGAAAAGCUUUAGAUACCAAAAAUAUAUGAAAAUAAGGAAAAUGAUUGUUAGUGUCAUUACAGGCGUGCAUUGUGAGAUCUUCAUGGAUCAUCAUAGUCUUCAUCAUCUUAUGACCUAGAGAGAGAUUAAUUCUAGGAAACGUAGAUGGAUUUAGUCGCUUAAGGAUUAUGACAUCUCUAUUUUGUAUUUUCUGAGAAAGCAAACACGGUAGCGUAUGUCUUGAGCCAAAAGGCGGUGAGUAUGGGUAGUUUGGCUUCUAUUUAGUUUCUCAGAGGUCAUUGGCAUGGGACAUUCGAUCCUUAGCAAACUUGAUGGUGUGAAUUGGUAUUUUAGACCCCAUGUGAAUUAUUGCUAGUGUUGAGGUGAGGUCUACUCUAUUUGACUAGAUUCACAGUCGUUAGUUUGAGGAUAUGAAACUUUGCAUCAUCCAUGAUCAGGUGAUGAGUAGUGAGUCCAAGAGGGUUAUCAUAGAUUCUAAGGGUGUUCUGAGAUUUGAUGGCCAUAUUUGUGCUCUGAGGGUUGGUAAAUUGAUGUAGUUGAUUUUGGGUGAGGCUCACAACUCUAGAUGUUCUAUUCACCCAGAUAGUUCUAAGAUGUAUAAAUAUUUUAAGUAGCAUUAUUAGUGGAGUGGUAUGAAGAGAGAUAUAGAAGAAUUAGUAGUCCCAAGAAGUCAUAAAUAACUUGGGGAAGUCAUAGAAAAGCUUUAGACACUAAAAAUAUAUGAAAACAAGGAAAAUAAUUAUUAGUAUUAUUACAGGCGUGCAUUGUGAGAUCUUCACGGAUCAUCAUAGUCUUCAGUAUCUUAUUACCUAGAGAGAGCUUAAUUCUAGGCAACGUAGAUGGAUGUAGUUGCUUAAGGAUUAUGACAUCUCUAUUUUGUACUUUCUGAGAAAACGAACACGCUAGCGUAUAUCUUGAGCCAAAGGCGGUGAGUAUGGGUAGUUUGGGUUCUAUUUAGUUUCUCAGAGAUUGUUGGCAUAGGACAUUCGAUCCUUAGCUAACUUGAUGGUGUGAAUUGGUAUUUUAGACCCCAGGAGGAUUUUUGCUAGUGUUGAGGUGAGGUCUACUCCAUUUGAGCAGAUUCAAAGUCGUUAUUUUAAGGAUAUGAAACUUUGCAUCAUCCAUGAUUAGGUGGUGAGUAGUGAGUCUAAGAGGGCUAUUAUAGAUUUUAAGGGUGUUUUAAAAUUUGAUGGUCAUAUUUGUGCUCUGAGGGUUGGCAAAUUGAUUUAGUUGAUUUUGGGUGAGGCUCACAACUCUAGAUGUUCUAUUUAUCUAGAUAGUACUAAGAUGUAUAAAGAUUUUAAGUAGCAUUAUUAGUGGAGUGGUAUGAAGAGAGAUAUGGUAGAAUUUGUAGUUCAUUGCCUAUAUUAUCAGUUAGUGAAGGCCGAGCAUCAGAGACUUGGUGGCUUGAUUCAUAUAUUUCCCAUUCUAGAGUAGAAGUAGGAGUGUAUUACUGUGGAUCUUGUUAGUGGUUUUCCUCACACUUCUCAUAGUUUUGAUAGUAUUUGGGUCAUUGUGGAUUGAUUUACCAAGUUGGUAUAUUUUAUUCCUAUCUUUCAAUGCCGAGAGGUUAAGUCGUGUCUAUAUUCAUGAGAUAGUUUAUUUUAGUGAUGUGUCUUUCAGACAAGGGUUUGGUGUUUACUUCUAUCUUUUAAAGAGAUUUUUAGGAGGAGUUAGGUGCUCAGGUGGAUCUUAGUAUAACUUUCCAUCUUCAGACUAAUGGUCAGCCAGAGUUGGCUAUUAAGGCUAUCGAGGAUAUACUUCGAGCUUGUGUUAUAGAUUUCAUAGGUUAUGGGAGCAACACCUAGCUUUGGCAAUUCACAUAUAAUAAUAGCUAUCAUUCGAGUAUUGAUUGCUGUUUUUUGAGACUUUGUAUAGUAGGUGAUGUCAUUCUUUGAUUCGGUGAUUUGGGACCUCCAAGAUUAGACCCCGUAGUAAUGACUUGCUUUAGGAGUCGUUGGAUAGAGUCAGAGUGAUUCAAGAUAGGUUGAGGGUAUCUUAGAGUAGGCAAAAAGAGCAUGCAGAUUGUAGACUUCGUGCCUAGAGAUUUGGAGUUGGAGAUCAAGUAUUCCUCUGAGUAUCGCCAAUGAAGGGUCUGAAGAGGAUUGGGAGGAAGGGAAAGCUUAGUCCUAGGUAUAUUGAACCCUUUGAGAUCCUUCGUAUAGUUGGUGAGAUGUCUUAUGAGUUAGACUUACCCCCUGAUUUAGCUAUUGUCAAAUCAGUUUUUCAUGUUUUUAUGUUGCGAUGGUACAUUCUAUACUCAUCUCAUGUGCUCAUUUUCUAUGUUUUUGCUCAUUUUGAUUGAUUAAAGUUUUCAUAGUUUCCCAACUCAUUUUUGACUUGCUGUAGCUGAAAGUUUUAUUACCCUUCUGUUUGUUUGGUUUUUAGAGCCAAUUCCAUAUUUUAAAGUCUACGUGGUUAGAAUUGACUACCGCACAAAAAAUUUAGUCAAAUGACUUCGUAUGCCAAUUUUGAUACUUUUAAUAGCUCCAGAAUAUCAAUUUUAUUCUAAGUGGACCUUUGGUUUGGGUCCCAAGGCUUCCAAACUCAUUUUGGGUUAUUGGCUAAAAUUGAAAAAAAAUAACACUUGGGUGUGGGACCUACUUUUUUACCGACCGACCUUAGAUGGAAAUUCCUAAUCCUCUAUUGAGUCUAUAAUGUUGAAUUUGAUAGGAUAUCAUAGUUCAUUUACGUAUAUGAGAUUUUGGAUGAAUCCCGAGGGGUUGGUGAAGACUUGGAAAAAUUUGCUUAAAUGGUGCUGCUGUAUUUGCUUAAGCGCCCAUAAGGUCUCCUAAGAUAAGGCCGCUUAAGCGACCAUCCGGUCGGUUAAGCCACCUAGCUUGCAUAGCUGGUUUCGCUUAAGCAAUGCCCUUGUCUCUUAAAGAUGGAUGCUUAAGUGUCCAAAGGUCGCUUAAAUGACAUGUGCAGAAGUCGCUAAUGACGCGAAAGAGGCAUUUAGCCUCUUAAGCGGCACCUGGUAGUAUUAAACACCCCAAGUAGCCUGUUUUCUCUCAUUUUCACACAUUUUCAUGAGUGCAAAACCCUAAAAUGUAUGGAAACUUGGGAAAGACAUUAGUAGGUUAUUUUGGGGAGUUUAUAAGCUUAGAUUACUCAUUUCUUCUCCGAAUUCUUGGUAUGGUUUCAUUAAUUCCAUAAUUAAUUUCUUAUAAUUUCCCCAAAAUUUCUAGAAUAUUAGAGGGUUGAUUGUAGCGCCUUUGACCUUGGAAUUUACCUAUUCUUGAGUAAAUGGUCCUUGAGCAUAGACAAACGUAUUGUCGGUCUCGAAAUUGCUAUUCCACAAACAGACCCCACAUGGUAUUUUUACGUAAUUUUUGACCGAAGCAUAAAAUUAUAAUAUGGGUAUCAUUGUUCUCGUUUGAUGAGUAGAUUAUGAUUUUGAUAGCUUCUCGGAAGGGGGAUCAAUGAUUUAGCGAAUUUCUUCGGGUUUUUCUUUGGUAUCCAGAUAGGCUAGAUUUAUUUUCCUAAUAGAUUGAGAUAAUUUGUAGUAUAUUUAUGAUAUUAUGCUAGACAUGGGGUGUGAAUUAGGUCUUGGGGGGGAUAUAAUUGGUAUAAUUAGCAUUAUUUUGACUGUUUAGGCUAUUUUGGAAUCGUAAAUUAGGCGCCUUGACUUGAUUAUUCAUGUUUAGAUAGAAUUUCUAUCUUAGGGCUAAUUGCGGCUUAUUUGGAUACCUUAGCCUAGUUUGGAGUAGAUUUUAUCUUAGAAUGGAUUUCAAGGAUUAGAAGUGGGCUCGUUCAGCUAACCUUAGGCCAAUACUCUUGUUAGCUCCUUGUACACCUAAUGGGCGUAUUGCAUCCUUAAAGUGGCAUAUCUUAGAGUUAAAAAGACUAGAUUCUUGAUGUUUAUGCUAGUUUGGUAUUUGUGAGUUGAUAUGAGUUUCGGUUCAAGUCCGAUGAUUUAUUGAUAUUAAGUUCCAGUUCAAGUCCAGCAAUUGAUGACAUGAGUUCCGUUCAGGUCCAGCAAAUGAUAAUGAUGAUAUUGAUAUGAGUUUCGAUUUAAAUCAGACAUUAAGAGGUUAUUUAUGGCAUGUUAUGGCGCAAAUGGAUUCAUGGUUAUGGCUUGAUAUUUUUUAAAUUUAUAAAAUUUUGGUCAUUUACUCUCUUGAUUUCACCCUCGGGCUUAUGGGGGCUCGCGUUGGGUUAUUUAUUUUUUGGCACUUACUCGCUUAUUGGGGCCAGUCUUGUAGUAUUAUUUACACUUCCUUUUAUAUUGUAUCCAUUUCAGUUAUUUAUUUACAGUGUUGGAGCAUUAUACCAGGUUUGCCAUUUUAUCUUGACUUAGCUUGUUUAUCUUAUAUCUUUAUUUUACUUAUGUUAUGAUUUAGCUCAGUCGACCGAUGAUGCCUACUUAGAAAUUAUGGCUUUGAUACUCAUACUAUACUUCUGUACCUUUUUUGUAUAGAUUUGAGUACUAGUGGCCGUCGCUGAUACCUAGAUUGUGCUGAGUUGAGUUCGAAGAUAGGAUGUGAGCUCCCAGAGUCAAAGUGGCCCUUUUUUCUUCGACUAUUUAUAUCUAAUCUUUCACUAUUCGAUACUGAUGUAUAUUGACUAUUACAGUAUUUAUGUUCCUUUUUACUAGUGGCUCUUGUACCAACACUACUAGUUCAUGGGAUGUUACUUCUAUUUUAUCUAUCUUUCAGACUAUCAUUACUAUUUAAAUUAUUGUUGUAAGUCUAUACGUGCAAAUUUAUAGCUUUUAUGCCUUUUUCCACCAAAUUUGUCCAUUGCUUCUAGCUUUGAGCUAGGAUUUGGCUUACCAAUUGGCGAAAUAAAGUAGGUCAUGACUCGUAAAUCGGGUCAUGACAAUUUAAAGCUUAACAAAAUCUAAUCUAAUCAAAUAUGCUUUAGUAUCUUUUCUGUAAUGAACAAAAGAAUGAAAUUAUACUAUGUUCUAUCUAAUUAACUUGAGAAUCUAAAAAACUGUAAUCCAAAAAUGUAUACACAAUUUUAAUCUAGUCCUCAUUCCUAAAAUGAUAUGGUUCAUUAUUUUUCUACUUUACUUAAAUCUUUUUCCACAAAUCAAGCAAGUGUAUCUCUAUAUCGGUAAGGACCUUUCUAAUAUGGAAUAAAAACACCAUUGCAUACACCUACAAAUGCAAUAGUUUGAUUGCCCAGUCAAAUGAGCAUAUCACCCACUUAAAUAAAAUGUAAAAGGAAUAUUAUCAUCAAGCAAAAUGUAAUACAUAUAGUAAUACAUUUCAAAUAGAGAUGACUCACUAGGCUGAGCUUAAACAGAAUACAAGAAAGAUUCUAUACAUAAAAAGAUACAUCACAUAGACUUCUUUCACACCCAAUGUAUAAUCUGCAUAGACAAAUCAAAUUGGAGCUGCACAUGUAGCCAUAAAGUGGCCAAUCUGAUUGCACUGGUGUAAGACCUGCAAAAUCCUUGCUUAACUCAGUCCCUUAGAGCAUGAAAAGAGGUCAUAGACUUAGAAAUUUCAGCUAAGUUUUUAUACUUAGAAUUAUUUUAGCCUUCAUAUCUUGGCGAUCUUAUUUUACGACCCUUACGACUUUAAAAUGUCUAUUUUUUGGUUGAUUCAUGAUUAGGAAUGUCAGUAGUUGUUCUCAGGAAAGUUUCAAAUUUUUCGAACAUCGUUUGAGACAUGUUUGGGAGUCCAAAAUAGUGGAUCGACACGAUCUCGACGCGUCGCGUCGCCUAUCGCGUUGAUAGAUAUUUUUCCUAGCUCCCAGUGCAAAUUCUAGUGAGCUGAUGUAUCUAAUAGUAUUGUCAAGGAGCGUAGGACCAAAAUGAUGGUCAAGGAGAUAUACAUAUCGAGGCUCAUGGCCAAUGCUCAGCAGAUAGAAGAGGCUAAGAAUAAGGAAAGGAGAAGGAAAAUAAGAGAGCUACAAUAGGUAGCUUCAACUUCACUCAGCCCAAGUCUGAGGGUGGUAAUCGUUCUCAGUUCCGCGUGAAAUAUUCCAUUCCAGAUCCGUCCUCAGCCAGUGCCCCAGUGACCAAAUUCAAAUAUAGCAAUAAAUAUAGUGCGCCAGGCCCUAAACCCCCAGGGUAGUGUUAACAAUGCUCGAACAAACCCUCUUUUCCAGAAGUGUGGCAGGAACCAUCAGGGUGUCUGCAGAGCUAACAGCGAUGUAUAUUUUGAAUGUGGAAAGCUAGUACAUAGGGUUAGAGAGUGUCCUCAGGUGGGUUCGCAGAGUCAGCAUAGUCAUCCCCCAGCUCAGUCCGAUCGCCUGAAUCAAUAGAGUGCUGUUUCCAGUGCCACCAGUGGGCAAAGCCCAAACAGGCUUUAUGCACUUCAGUCCUGACAGGAUCAAGAAAGUUCUCCUAAUGUGGUGACUGGUAUGUUACAAGUUUAUCAUUUAUAUAUUUAUGCUUUGCUAGAUCUAAGAGAUUUUUUAUCCUUUGUAACUCCUUAUAUAGCUGUUGACUUUGGAGUUAGUCCCGAAAUCCUUGCAGAUCCUUUCUCAGUCUCUACCAUAGUGGGUAAAUCUAUCAUAGCCUGAUGCAUAUACAGGAACUAGCCGAUUAUGGUAUCUCAGAAAGUCACUUCAGCAGACUUAGUAGAAUUAGAGAUGAAAGAUUUUGAUGUCAUUCUCGGCAUGGAUUGUCUUCAUUCAUGCUAUGCCUCAGUUAACGUUAGAAACAGAGUUGUCCAUUUUCAGUUUUCAAAUGAACUUGUCCUUGAGUGGAGGGGUAGUACUUCAGCACUUAGGUGUCAGAUUAUUUCCUACCUUAGGGUGAGGAAAAUGAUAUCUAAGGGGUGUGUUUAUCAUCUCGUUCUAGUUAAAACUCUAUUUCUUAGACUCCUAAUCUUGAGUAAGUUCUAGUAGCAUGCAAAUUUCCAGAUGUAUUUCUCGAAGAUCUUCCUGGAGUCCCUUUCGAGCAGGAAAUUGACUUCAAAAUAGACCUUUUUCCCGAUACUCAGCCUAUCUCUAUCCCACCANNNNNNNNNNNNNNNNNNNNNNNNNNNNNNNNNNNNNNNNNNNNNNNNNNNNNNNNNNNNNNNNNNNNNNNNNNNNNNNNNNNNNNNNNNNNNNNNNNNNNNNNNNNNNNNNNNNNNNNNNNNNNNNNNNNNNNNNNNNNNNNNNNNNNNNNNNNNNNNNNNNNNNNNNNNNNNNNNNNNNNNNNNNNNNNNNNNNNNNNNNNNNNNNNNNNNNNNNNNNNNNNNNNNNNNNNNNNNNNNNNNNNNNNNNNNNNNNNNNNNNNNNNNNNNNNNNNNNNNNNNNNNNNNNNNNNNNNNNNNNNNNNNNNNNNNNNNNNNNNNNNNNNNNNNNNNNNNNNNNNNNNNNNNNNNNNNNNNNNNNNNNNNNNNNNNNNNNNNNNNNNNNNNNNNNNNNNNNNNNNNNNNNNNNNNNNNNNNNNNNNNNNNNNNNNNNNNNNNNNNNNNNNNNNNNNNNNNNNNNNNNNNNNNNNNNNNNNNNNNNNNNNNNNNNNNNNNNNNNNNNNNNNNNNNNNNNNNNNNNNNNNNNNNNNNNNNNNNNNNNNNNNNNNNNNNNNNNNNNNNNNNNNNNNNNNNNNNNNNNNNNNNNNNNNNNNNNNNNNNNNNNNNNNNNNNNNNNNNNNNNNNNNNNNNNNNNNNNNNNNNNNNNNNNNNNNNNNNNNNNNNNNNNNNNNNNNNNNNNNNNNNNNNNNNNNNNNNNNNNNNNNNNNNNNNNNNNNNNNNNNNNNNNNNNNNNNNNNNNNNNNNNNNNNNNNNNNNNNNNNNNNNNNNNNNNNNNNNNNNNNNNNNNNNNNNNNNNNNNNNNNNNNNNNNNNNNNNNNNNNNNNNNNNNNNNNNNNNNNNNNNNNNNNNNNNNNNNNNNNNNNNNNNNNNNNNNNNNNNNNNNNNNNNNNNNNNNNNNNNNNNNNNNNNNNNNNNNNNNNNNNNNNNNNNNNNNNNNNNNNNNNNNNNNNNNNNNNNNNNNNNNNNNNNNNNNNNNNNNNNNNNNNNNNNNNNNNNNNNNAAUGCAUACAAAAAGUCUGGCUACUCUUAAACACCAGGUAAAUUCCAGCUUAGCCAAACCACUUCACAUUUGUUCUUUAAAUUGUCGCAAAAACUAAGAUAUCCUUGUUAUACAGCUGCUUCGUAACAAACUAGUCACAACAGCACGCAAAAGUAUGCAGAAAAAUUCAAGCUUAGGACAACUAUACGGGAAUAUGCAGGAAGCGUAUCAACAGAUGCAAACUCCUCUGAUCUACCAGGAACCAUCAGCUAGAGUAUGUGACAUGCGUCUUCACCGUUUAUGGAGCUUAAAGUUCUCAAACUAUGCCAAUGACCAUUACUAUCUACAUUUUACCCAAAAAAAAAAAAAAAAACUUUAGCUCAUUAACAACUUGAUUUCCUUAAUUUAGCAGGGCCUGAAGGAGUUAAAAGAAUCUACAAUUCAGUUAGCAUCAAGCAUGGGACACAUUGAUGCUCCAAUAGACGAAACAGUUUUUGACGUUGAGAAAGAAAUUGAUGAUUUGUUGCCUGUUGAAGUGAAAGAACAGCGUGUCAGCAACUUGCUUCAAGCCACCAUGGUUGGUGGAUGUGUUGCUGCCAUGCCAGUGCUCAGAAUGAUUCCAACCUCCGUGCUAUGGGGCUAUUUCGCAUACAUGGCCAUUGAAAGUCUGCCAGGCAAUCAAUUUUGGGAGAGAAUAUUACUGCUAUUCACUGCACCAAGCAGAAGAUACAAGUAACUACCUUUUCAAAAUUGCCUUUAAAUUUGGCUUUUCAAAGGAAUUUUCCUUACCAAAAUGAUGAAUCUUGCUUGCAGAGUUCUAGAGGACUAUCAUGCCACAUUUGUAGAGACUGUUCCUUUCAAGAGCAUAGUGGCAUUCACAACAUUCCAAACACUCUACUUGCUUGCUUGCUUUGGCAUUACAUGGGUUCCAAUCGCGGGACUCCUUUUCCCUCUCUUGAUCAUGCUUUUGGUUCCUGUUAGACAAUACAUAUUGUCAAAGUUUUUCAAAGGGGUACAUCUUCAAGAUUUGGAUGCAGCAGAUUAUGAGGAGUCACCCGCCGUUCCAUUCCAUCUUCCUAUGGUAAAUCCCUCUUUCAGUAAUCUGAUAUUUGAUUGUAAUUAGAUUAAUUUGAAGACUUAAAGACUAAUAUUAGAGCAUGCAGGAGGGUGAAUUUGGCUCAAGACCUUCCCAUGCAGAAAGCGGGGAGAUUUUAGAUGAGAUGAUCACUAGAAGCAGGGGUGAGGUCAAGCGCAUUAACAGUCCUAAGAUCACAAGUUCAACAGCAACUCCAAUAAGAGAUACCAAGCUCCUUCAGAGCCCGCGCAUAUCAGAAAAAGCAUACAGUCCACAGAUUGGCAAACUGAGAGGCCAACAAAGUCCCCUCUCUGGCGGAAGAGGGCCGUUCAGUCCAAGGACCGGAGAACCAAAGCCAUCCAAUUUGGGUACAAGUCCUCGGAUAUCAACUCCUAACGACUAAGAAACGAUUGACAUCUUAAGACUAAGCUAGUUUAAUAUGCCUUAAGUUUGGUAUUUUCAUUUGAUUGUCUCCUUUUUACUGCAUUUUAAGUGAUGCAUUAAUUGGGACUGUGCUUGAACAUUAGCCGUGUAUUCUUGUCUUAUAGUGAUAAUAGUUUAUAAGUGUUUUGUUCAUAUUUUCUUGUACUGCGGAGUUAUGAUUAAUAAUAGCAGUGACAUGUAUUUAUCCAAAUUUUCUUGUACAUCAUUGCACAAACUUCUUUUUAACAUAUCUUUGGAGAACUUAUCUUAAAGUAAAUAUAACAUUACAUCCUUCUUGGUAAAAUUUUUUGUAAAAAUAACAACAUUUAAAACUGGGAUUAACUGCAUAUAACUUAUCGAUCAACUAAAUUUACAUCCAGAUUAAUCGGGAUAAAAAGAGAAUUUAUUGAUGCAGGUGAAGCACUUCCACUGUUUUCUUAAAUGCAUAUCAUGAGCGGCCAUUGUUUGUGAAAAACGAGCUGCAUAAUUGUUCAGAGUUGCGGAGCCAUCUUUGUGCAAGAGAUAUCAAUUAUUUCUUCGCUGGAAAAUUACACUACAUAAAUAGGUAAAAAGAGAAAUUAUAUAUAUAUACUAUACGUUGAAUCCCUACUUCUCGUAUGUCUACUUCUUUGUAUUUUGACUUCCCUAACUGAAAAUCAUGAUUCCGCCAUUACGUGUCCUAAAUCCUCAAUAGGCUAAUUAGAAACCAGAUUUGAGCACAUGUGGAAUUAAUGACAAAUAUAAUCAAGGAUAUAGGACUGUAUUAAGGUGCUUGUAUCUAGAUUGAUCAUCAUGGUGUGCCCAAGACACUAUUUAAAUGGUUGAAUGCGUGAUUCAUGACAAGAGGGGUGAGUUGAAUGUAGCCCAAGCAUAUAGCUAAAGGAAAUAAAGAGUUGAUAUAAUGAGAUAAGUAUAAGUAGUCAUUAUGAAUGCAGGAAGAAAAGCAGAGGCCACAAUUGAAUAUGAGAAAGCACAUGAUAAGUGAAGGGACAAGCAAAGGGGAAGUUUGUGGUUUUAUGGCAUUUGACUUUAAAUAAGUGGGAAACUUUGCGUAUCACGGUCUAAUAAUUUCAGGAUCUGUGUUAUGUUUUUGGCCUAUCUGAGGGAACAAUAAUAUAGAAAACUGAAGAUUGAAUAAGACCAUUAAUCUGAUAAAGCACCAAAUUAAAGAGUAAACUCAGGUGACAAUUCAUGGCCUUGAUCAUAACCAUGAGAGUCCAUAUUGACAACGUGGUUUUGGGCCCCUACCUAGCUAGUUCUGUCCUGCAAAAUUUACUAUAGAAGGUAAUGACACCCAUUGAUUAUAUUAAUUAACUUAUGAAAGCACUCAAUAAGCACUACUGUCUACUCUACUACUAGUUGAUCAGCUAGUUAGUAGUAUUUGCAUGCAACUGAUCUAGUCGUAGCAUAUUAUAGAAAAGAAAAUUGAACUAAACACGUAUAAAAAUAAUGAUUUAGAGUUUGGAAUUUGUUUGGUUAGCUGAUUGAAAGUAUAUAGCAUUAUAUGCGGUGAGAUUCGAGCUUGGCAGGAGGUUUUGAUAUUUGACACGUGGAAGUAUUGACUUAAUCAGAAGCCUGGGAUCGUGUCUCUCUGGUCAUGGCACUAUAUGACAUCUUAGAACCAAUGCCACCAGCGUAUCUUAUUGAUUGGUGGCAUCGCUCUAUAAUAACAAGGACUAUUCUAUGAGCGGGUGACCAAUGACACCACUUUCGCAUGACCUCCUCCCCCGGUCUGUUCAUUGCUCAGCCAAAGCACGCUGGCAACUGUUUGAGUUAUGACACCAAUCAACCUCGAGCUCAGUUGUCAGAUUUUAAACAUGUGAUUAUAUUUUAAGCAUUUUGAGAGUAGUCUUUUUCAUAUAAUAGAGUAGCUUUUUCAUACUAGAAUUCUUAGUUAUUUUGGCCCUUAAGUAAACCCUUGCAUGGAACGGGAAUGGAGCUCAUCUUAAUUCACUUUGAUAAUAUACAGACGAUUCAUGUUCUUAUUCUAAUUUUUACUCAUAUUAACAGUCUUUUUCUUCGUUUAGUUUAUAUUUUGUCAUUUAUUCUUGCUUUGUAAAAACAAUAAUAGUUCUCUCUGUAUGAAGCAUGAAUCGUGAUAAUUCACAAAUAUUGCAAAUAGGGAAGUGUCAUUUCAACAAUAUAAUAUUAUUGGCCCUCCAAUGCAUGUUAUCUGGAAGUCGGGACCCAGAUAUAAAUUAUAAAUAGACCAUUUUCCUUCAAACAGAGAACCCUUUUUCUAGGUACUUCUUUUACGUAAUUAUUUUUAUUUGUUUUGAUUUGUGACCGCACCUUAAUUUCAACAUUGACUUUUUUUGGACCACUUUGUAAUAAUCAUGAUGUUUCUUUGAUUAUAAUUUAUUUGCUCUUGAGUACUCCUGAAGAAAUGGGCAAAAAAAGUAAUUAAAAACUUUCUUCAAGCGAUCAGAAGACAACAAAAUAAAAGAAAAGAAAAAAAUUAAAAUAAAAUCUCAAAAACGAUUUGAACAAGCUAGCAGCUUCUUUUUGGGGAAAGGUAUAUACUAUUGACACUCCUGAUUUUCUAGGUGCGUCUAUAUUUAUAAUAUUGAGACAUUCCUAUGUUGGUGAAGAUUCUAGAAAACUGCACGAGACUCUCAUAGAAGUGAUAGGACUAACAGUGAUGUAGAUAUAUUCACUAGGAUCUGGAAGUAACUCACUAUUCGUAAGAGAUAAAGAAAUACGAAAAGCAAUGGGAGUACGAACAGGUUUGCAGGUAUGCAUAUGAAAUUAAGAAGCAUAUCAGAAAUAUACCUUUGCUGAGACAAGUGAAGUACAUGAGGUGAGUGAACAACUUGAACACCAAGAAAAUAGUGAAGAUCAACUAAGUCCAUCAUAGCAAACUAAUUAGAAAGACGAGAAAUAAAGUGAUCAAAAAGAUGUGCAGAACUAUCAGUAAAAUUGAUAUCAUCAAUAUAAAGUAAUAAUAUGAGCAUACCAGAUGAUGACUUAUGGAUAAACAUGGACGUAUCUGAUUUACUGCAAACAAAAUCACGAGCAAGGAGAAAUGUAUUAAAGAGAUGAAACCAAGCACGUGAUGCUUGAUUCAAACCAUAAAGAGCUUUAGAUAGUUUACAGACAUGGUGAGGAUAGUCCAGAUGAGUUUCCCAAAGGUUGUUCCAUGAAAACUUCUAACACCAUGUAAAAAAACAUUUUUAACAUCAAGCUGUCGAAUAGGUCAAGAAAAUGAAAUUGCAUUAGAAAGAACAAUACGAACAGUAGUAGCACGAACUACAAGACUAAAUAUUUCGUGGUAAUUAAUAUCUGGUUGCUGAUGAAAACUUUAUGCUACGAGUCGUGCUUUGUAUCGCUCAUUUGAACCAUUUAAAUUAUAUUUAAUACAAUAACCCAUUUACAAUCAAUUAAGUUCAUGUUAGAUCGAAAAGGAACAAGAGUCCAAGUGUUAUUUUUCAAAAGUACAUUAAAUUCAUUAGCCAUGGCUUGUUUUCAUGUUGGACUUUUAACAGCUUGAGAAGAACAAGAAGGUUCAAUUUCCUGAAUUGUAGUAUCUAAAGAAAACAACUGCCUUGAUUUUGAGAUACCAGAUUUAGAUCGUGUUUGUAUUGGACGAGCGGGAAGAGUAGAAUCAAGUGAAGAUGAAGUAGGUAUAACGAAAGAGGGACCACUAAAGAGACACCCAGUAGAAGAACUAGAUAUAGACACAGGUUUAAUAGGGCUAGAGGUUGGGAAAUUCAGAAGGAAAAUCAGAAGAAAUAUUAAAGGAAAUACGGGACCUAGAAUGUUGUAAUGGAGAUGAUAAGGGUGAUGUGACUAUAAGGAUGUCAGGAGAAGAUGAGGAUGAAGUAACAUUGCUAGAGCAAGACAAUACAGGAUAAGGAAAGAUUAACUCCUAGAAAUAACAUGGCGACUAACAUAGAAACAAACUAUUUUAGGAUCAAAACAACGAUAACUCUUAUAGUUGGAAGCAUACCCUAGGAAAACACAUUGUACAAAAUGUGGUGUAAGCUUGUGGCAGUAAAAGAUGUUCAUUUACCUUACCACUUUAUGUCUGCAACGGUUCACUAGCAAAGACGCUCCUGAGGUGCCCGAGGGAACCUCGAACAAAGACCGCUUUGUUAUUGUAAAAGCUUGAAAACAUUCGAACUUCCUUUGCAGGAAUUAUAUUUUGAGUGGUCUCCAAGACGAAUUCUACAAUAUUUAUAGUGGAACAAAGAUAUCAAAAGAAAUGUGGGGGGAACUUGAACAAAAAUAUAAGACGAAGGAUGCAGGAAUUAAGAAAUUCCUUGUUGCACGGUUCCUGGACUUUAAAAUGAUAGAUAGUAAAUCUGUUGUCUCUCAAGUGCAGGAGUUGCAAGUCAUCAUACAUGAUCUCCUAGCAGAAGGUAUAUCUUUGAAAAAUACCUUAGUUAAACAAAUUAAAUAUGUUCUUAAUACUCAUAUAAAUUGUUUUGAAGGUUUAAUUGUGAAUGAUGCUUUCCAAGUAGCAGCGAUAGUGAGAAGCUACCACCUUUGUGGAAAGACUUCAAAAACUACUUAAAGUAUAAACGCAAGGAGAUAACUGUUGAAGAUCUUAUUGUCCGACUUCGUAUUAAAGAGGAUAAUAAAACUAUCGAAAGAAGUUCAAAGGGAAAUUCUGCAAUUAAUGGAGCACAUAUUGUAGAAGAUGGCCAAAACAAUUCUAAGAAAAUGAAAAAAACUGAACAAGGAAGCAAUCAACCCAAAAAAAAGUUCAAGGAAAAAUGCUUCAACUGUGGCAAGAUUGGCCACAAGUCCACAGAUUAUCAUGCCCCAAAGAAAGGAAAGAAGAAGGAUCAAGUAAAUAUGAUUGAAUCCAACAAAGAAUCUAAUGAUUUGUAUGCUAUUUUAUCAGAAUGCAACUUGACAGGAAAUCCUCGGGAAUGGUGGAUGGAUUUUGGUGCCACCCAUCAUGUUUGUGCCAACAGAUGGUUGUAUUCAUCAUUCGCUCCAGCUCAAGUAGAAGAAAGGAUCUACAUGGCUAACUAUGCUACUGCUAAGGUGGAAGGAACUGGGAAAAUAUACUUGAAAAUGACUUCGGGCAAAGUCUUGACACAUAACAAUGUCUUGUAUAUUCUCGAAUUACGUAGAAACUUAAUCUCUGUUUCACUUCUAGACAAGAACGGAUUCAAAUGUGCAAUCGUUUCUGUAAAUUGUAAUUAGCAAAGGAGAAAUAUAAGUAGGAAAAGGCUAACUGACCAAAGGCCUUUAUAAGAUGAAUGUAAUGACUGUUCAAAUAAAUAAAAGUUUGAAUUCUUCUUAUUUUCUUGAGUCUUAUGAUUUAUGGUAUGAACGUUUAUGCCAUGUUAGUUUGAAAACAUCACAAAAACUGAUUAAAUUAGAAGUUUUGCCAAACUUUAAGUGCAAUAAAUUAAAGUGUCAAACGUGUGUGGAAUCAAAGUAUGCAAAGCAUCCUUAUAAGUCCGUUGAAAGGAAUUCCAAUCCCUUAGACUUAAUACACACUGGCAUUUGUGAUAUGAAGUCAACACCAUCACGUGGUAGGAAAAAGUAUUUUGAAACUUUUAUUGACGAUUACACAAGAUAUUGUUAUGUCUACAUGCUAAAUAGUAAGGAUGAAGCAAUAGAUGCAUUUAGGUAAUAUAAAACUAAAGUUGAAAAUCAGUUAGACAAAAAGAUCAAAAUGAUAAGAAGUGAUAAGGGCGGAGAAUAUGAAUCUCCCUUUGUGCAAAUAUGUAUAGAGGAUAGAAUAAUCCAUCAGAGUACGGCCCCAUAUUUACCUCAAUCUAAUGGAAUUGCUAAAACGAAAAACCAAACUUUGAAUGAAAUAAUGAAUGCCUUACUUAUAAGUUCUGGUUUACCAAAAAACUUAUGGGGGAAGGAUAUCCUUACGGCCAAUCGUAUACUCAACAGAGUUCCCCAUAGUAUGACACAAUCAAUUUCUUACGAAAAAUGGAAAGGAAGGAAACACAACUUGAAAUAUUUCAAAGUGUGGGGGUAUCUAGCGAAGGUUCAAGUUUCUAUACCUAAAAGGGUUAAGAUAAGACCUAAAACGGUGGACUGCGUGUUCAUAGGAUAUGCUAAAAGUAGUAAAGCAUGUCAAUUUUUGGUUCAUAUAUCCGAACAUUUGGAUAUUAAUAAAAAUACGGUAAGUGAAUCAAACAAUGCUGAAUUCUUUGAAAACACUUACCCAUAUAAAAUUAGACAUGAACAGUCUAGUGGAGGAUAUAAACGACCUUGAGAUGAACCAAGUGAGAAUGUACAUAAUGAAGAAAAUCCAAGACGUAGUACAUGUCAAAGAAUGUCAACUUUGUUUGGGUCGGAUUUUGUAACAUUUCUCUUAGAAAAUAAGCCUCAAACAUUUAGAAAAGUGAAGUCGUCGUCAGACUCAUCCUUUUGGAAAGAGGCAGUCAAUAGUGAGAUAGAUUUAAUCUUAAGCAACCAUACAUGGGAAUUUGUUGACCUUCCUCUCAAAAAUAAACCGUUAGGUUCUAAAUGGAUCUUCAAAAGAAAAAUGAAGGCGGAUGGUACUAUUGACAAAUACAAGGCAAGACUUGUAGUAAAAUGCUUCAAACAGAAGAAAGGCCUUGAUUACUUUGAUAGAUACUCGCCAGUAACAAGGAUAACCUUGAUUCAAAUGUUAAUUGACUUGGCGUCGGUAUAUGAUCUUCAAAUUCAUCAAAUGGAUAUGAAAACCGCAUUCCUAAAUGGAGAUAUAGAGGAAGAAAUAUACAUAGAAUAACCUGAGGGUUUUGUGUUUCUAGGAAAAGAAAAUAAGGUCUGUAAACUUGUUAAGUCACUUUAUAGACUAAAGCAAGCACCUAAAGAAUGGCAUACGAAGUUUGACCAAACCAUGUUGGCAAACGGAUUCAAAAUAAAUGAAUGUGAUAAAUGUGUUUAUAUCAAAGACACUCCAAAUCACCAAGUCAUUAUUUGUUUAUAUGUGGAUGAUAUGUGUAUCAUCAGUAGAGACAUUUCUGACAUAAAUCCAACAAAACGAAUGCUCGAGAGCAAGUUUGAUUUAAAAGACCUUGGAGUUGCAGAUGUGAUCUUAGGUAUAAGAAUCCAUCAAACUCCAUAAAGGUUAGCAUUGUCACAGUCUCAUUAUAUCAAAAAAGUACUCGACAAGUUCAAGUAUAUGGAAUUCGAAAUUGCCAAAACUCCAUUGGAUGUAAACUUUGCAAUUCGAAAGAAUGAAGGUGAAAGUGACUUGCAAUUAGAGUACACAAGUGUAUUGGGAUGUUUUACGUAUAUAAUGAACUGUUGAUGACCAGACAUAGCAUGUGCUAUCAGUAAAUUGAGUCGGUACACGAGUAAUUCCAACAAAACUCAUUGGAUGGCAUUGAAAAGAGUUUUAGGGUAUCUUAAAUACACUCAAGAUUAUGCUUUGCAUUAUAAUAAAUAUCCUGCGGCACUUGAAGGAUAUAGUAAUGCAAAUUGGAUCAUCGGAUCGAACAAAGCAAAAUUCACAAGUGGAUAUGUAUUUAUUAUCGGUGGAGGAGCAGUUUCUUAGAAAUCAUCCGAACAGACUUGUAUCGCUCACUCUACAAUGGAAUCGGAAUUUAUUGCAUUAGAUAAAGCCGGUGAAGAAGUAGAAUGGCUCCAAAAUUUCUUGAAAGAUAUUCCGUAUUAGCCUAAGCCAGUGGUACCACUAUGUAUAAGCUGUGAUAGCCAAGCGGCAAUAGGUAAGGCAGGGAGCAUGAUGUACAAUGGUAAGUCUCAUCACAUAAGACGGAGACAUAAUACCGUUAGAGAACUCCUCUCUAGUGGAAUUAUCACUAUAGAGUAUGUAAAGUCAAAGAAUAAUGUGUCGGAUCCACUUACGAAAGGCCUAUCUAGAGAAGAAGUAGAAAGGACAUCCAAGGGAAUGGGUUUAAGGCCUAGGACAAGUCAGCAUGGCGGUAAACUCUACCUAGCAGUCUGGAGAUCCCAAGAGCUAGGUUCAAGGAGAUCAAAAAAAGUUGUGUCUAGCAGGUUCAACAUUGUUAAUUACCCAACCCAUUCUCAUGAUGUAGAUAAUGUACAGUCAACUAGGAUAAGACUUAAGGUAAAAAGUGUUUUAAUGAUUAUCUAAAUUUAGUAGAUUUGACCAAAUAGUUUAAUCUACAGGAUUGAACGUUUAGAACCCACCUAUGCGAGGGUGAAGUGGAAGCCGCUUCAAGGAGAAUAUUAGUAAAGGCCUAUUCUCUAAGCUCUCAUGAAAUCGAGACGUGUUCAUGGUUGUAAACAACAAAACCAUGAGAACCAUAAACAUUAAAAGGCUGGUUGUGUGAUGUAACGCCCUAAAAAAUGGGUCCCGGAGCGUCACACGGUGCUUGAGGCUACGAUUAGCCCCAAGCUAACCCUUUGAGCCAUUUUCAUUCAGUUCAACACAAAUCAAUGGGGUUUCCAUAAAUAACCCUCAAAUAUCAACAGAGUAAUCAUCAUCCAAGAAUAAAAGAAUUUCAGAAAGAUAACAAAAUAUGACUUAUUAGUCAACUCUCAACAUCUAUACUAGUCUGACAAGCCUCUAAGAAAAUCAAUAAAACCAGCGAGCCAUUGAGACAUGCCCCAACUGACUCAUACUCAGUUAUCAAAUGUAAACAAUUUCGUAAAACCAACAUCAGACAUCACGUCCUCAGAACAUGAGGACUCACCAUAACAGAGGAUGUAGAAUAGCAUGCCCGAAGAAUCACUAUCGAACCUGGAAUUGAGAACCUGGACCUACAUUUCGAGAAAAUGCAGCCCACAUCCGAAGAUGUAGGUCAGUACCAUGGAAAGAAAUCAAGUAUAUAAGGGUUUAUGCAGUUGUAUAAACAUCAUCAUCAUAAAUAUUUAUAAGAAAUAUGCAGGACGUAUGAAAGACUCAGCCCGAAGAAAAUCAUCAUAAUCAUGAGAGGAUGAAAUAAGUACAAUAACAUAUGUGUGUCAUCAUAUAAUUUGUCAAUCACUUUCAGUUCAUCAAGAAUAUCAAUUCUCAUAAUGUAAAUAUCAUUUAAAUCUUUCAAAAGAAUAACUUUCACAAUUCCACUUUCAAAUCACUUCACAAUUCAACAUAGACACAAGAAAACACACACACACUGGGAGAUCCUAUAACCGACAUAAACCAUGUGAGCUACAAGGAGUCCAACGUACAAUCCACAUUGGGGAGAGCCAUCCUAUCCUUGCCAUCGGAGUAGGACUAUCGAUAUCAAAUCCACACAAACUAGUGAUCACUAUAUAAAUCAGCCUCAGGCUCACUCCUANNNNNNNNNNNNNNNNNNNNNNNNNNNNNNNNNNNNNNNNNNNNNNNNNNNNNNNNNNNNNNNNNNNNNNNNNNNNNNNNNNNNNNNNNNNNNNNNNNNNNNNNNNNNNNNNNNNNNNNNNNNNNNNNNNNNNNNNNNNNNNNNNNNNNNNNNNNNNNNNNNNNNNNNNNNNNNNNNNNNNNNNNNNNNNNNNNNNNNNNNNNNNNNNNNNNNNNNNNNNNNNNNNNNNNNNNNNNNNNNNNNNNNNNNNNNNNNNNNNNNNNNNNNNNNNNNNNNNNNNNNNNNNNNNNNNNNNNNNNNNNNNNNNNNNNNNNNNNNNNNNNNNNNNNNNNNNNNNNNNNNNNNNNNNNNNNNNNNNNNNNNNNNNNNNNNNNNNNNNNNNNNNNNNNNNNNNNNNNNNNNNNNNNNNNNNNNNNNNNNNNNNNNNNNNNNNNNNNNNNNNNNNNNNNNNNNNNNNNNNNNNNNNNNNNNNNNNNNNNNNNNNNNNNNNNNNNNNNNNNNNNNNNNNNNNNNNNNNNNNNNNNNNNNNNNNNNNNNNNNNNNNNNNNNNNNNNNNNNNNNNNNNNNNNNNNNNNNNNNNNNNNNNNNNNNNNNNNNNNNNNNNNNNNNNNNNNNNNNNNNNNNNNNNNNNNNNNNNNNNNNNNNNNNNNNNNNNNNNNNNNNNNNNNNNNNNNNNNNNNNNNNNNNNNNNNNNNCUGUCCUUUGGUGGACUAUUUUGAUAGUCUGAAGUAGAUCAACCAUAAUGUUUUGCUCCGAUAUCCAAAUUGGAUGAAACUAAUUUCAUUAUAAAGAAGACUCUCAUAUAUUUCCAUUGAUAUAUAGUAUCUCACCCAGAUCAUUGUUUACGAAGAGUUAUGAUCGUUUGAAAUUGAUCCAAAAAUUCACUUUUGAUAGGCUGAAGUAGAUUGACCAUAACUUUUUGUUUCGAUAGACAAAUUGGAUGAAACUAAUUUCAUUGGAAAGAGGACUCACAGAGCUUUCUUUUAAUAUAUAGUAAAUCACCCAGAUCAUUAUGUACAAGUAGUUAUGAUCGUUUAAAGUUGGAGAAAAAAUACGCCAGGCCUCAAUACUUUUUCCUGCACNNNNNNNNNNNNNNNNNNNNNNNNNNNNNNNNNNNNNNNNNNNNNNNNNNNNNNNNNNNNNNNNNNNNNNNNNNNNNNNNNNNNNNNGCUUAUUCGAUACUCUACGUAAUGGUGGCUCAUAAUCUAAGACAUUCCGCACGAAAAAUUUAUAAUUCAUUCUAGAAGAUAGAACCCAACACGUUUGUGCACAAAAUUUCAACAAAAAAUUUCCCGGGGUAUUACAUGUGACAUGUAUUGUAUAGGUGUACAAUAAAACUCAAAGUUUCAAAGAUAUCAAAUCUACCGAUUGACCGAGUGCAUUCGAUGCAUGUUCACUACAGAAAGUUCAAAGGGAAACCCACUUAUCCAGAUGGAAUCAGUCUUUGCUUGAUGAUCACAUACUUGCCCGUAAAACUUUUAUGAAAAAUAGACAUUCCCCAUUCAUGUGGGGGAUUUUUGGGUUCAUAGAAAUGUGAAUGGAAAAUGGAGAAAAAAAAUUGUGGAGAAGAGGAGAUGCCAUUUUGGAAAGUGUACUCCCAAAAUUGGAAAGCUCACUAAUUCUCCCAUAUUGGUGAGAGAAAGGAACUUUGGAGUGUUUAUAAUGAUGAACACUUACUCCACAUGGUAAGUGAGGCAAUAAAUAAUAGAUGCCUCACGCCGUCGUCGUCAUCGCUUGCUCAUCUCGGCUUUGGAUUUGAAUUUUGAUUUGGAUUUGUCAAAUGAUCGAUCGAUGAGAUCUAUCUUUUUGGACAAAAUUUAUUUGAAUUUCAAAAAUACCAACAGUAACGCAGUAAAUAUUUUUUGUGUUUAAUACUCCAUUUAUAUGAUUUCAGUUUUAUUACGAAAGCAACGAAAGUGUGCAUGUAGAAUCUAUUUCGAACAGAUGCUUCAGGUAAAUUUUUGAACUGAUGUAAUUUUUCACUGAAAUGGUGCACAGUUUUGAAACUGAACUGAUGCACUGUUUCAGUAAACUGAUGCAUUGCUUCAGAACUAAUGCAUUGUUCUAAUGAACUGACACACUUAUUCACGAAAUGGCAUGCCUGUUCAAAACAGUUAUAAAAAUUGGACGAAUAGACAUGAAUUUUCAGAAAAGGUUACACCUUUUAGAUGAACCUUUGCCACUUUUCAGAAGAGGCAUCUUGUGGCUAUAAAAAACUGGUUUCAUCAAUUGGUUUGCAUACGAAAUUUUCAUAUUAAAAACUCUCUUCUUGUCUUAAAAAUAUUCUGUGUGAUCACUCAAAACAUUUUGUGAGUUCGAAGAUAUUCCAACCGUUUGAGGUACCGCUACUGUUGGUCUGGUUAGCCAUUUUAUUCUGGGAGGAAAAAUUUUACAACCUCGGAUACAAUGAGGGGGAUUAUUUCCUUAAGGAAAAUUUGUGAAUUCGGAUGACUUGACUAUUUUCUAUUUCAUCUUAAUUUCUGCAAAAUAAAAUACACCUCUUGACAAGGUCAUUUUGAUCUUGUGUUGAGGGUAUUUGAUAUACUUCAUUGUGUUCUUCUUUAUACUUGAACCCAAGUUAAAGUUGUUGUUGUAAUAUACAGAUUCUGUGUACCCAAAGUACAAACUAAUUAACAAUCUUAAGGAAAUAAGUUACUAUUACAGAAUAUGUGUUUCUUGUUUUUGGAGAUUAAAGUUUUAACUUUCUACUCCGCCUGAACUUAAAUAGUGAUUUGAAGUCAUAAAAACUUUGUCACAAGUUAAAGAUCAUUCGGUUGACAAUUGAAAGUCAUAAAAACUUCACUGUUAACUAGAAACAAGAAAAAAAAUUAAAGUUUCUUAAUUUUUAUAAGUAGUAUUCUGAAAAUACUAAGUAUUUUUUAUCUUGUGGUGACAGAAAAAUGGCAACUGUAAGUCAAAUGAUGGAUACGACAACAUCUGUGGGGGCAACUAAUAUUGCCACAUCAAGUCACACAAAUGCUCCGCCAACAAUGGCAUCGGCUGAGAAGCCCAAAAAAAUUUUGGACAUUGACUUCAAGCGGUGGCAGUAAAAGAUGUUCUUUUACCUCACCACUUUAUGUCUACAACGAUUCACUAGUGAAGAUGCUCCUAAGGUACCUGAGGGAACCUCAAACAAAGACCGCUUCGUUAUUAUAGAAGCUUGAAAACAUUUGGACUUUCUUUCUAGGAAUUAUAUUCUGAGUGGUCUCCAAGACGACCUUAACAAUGUUUAUAGUGGAACAAAGACAUCAAAGGAACUGUGGGGGGCACUUGAACAAAAAUAUAAGACGGAGGAUAUGGGAAUUAAAAAAUUCCUUGUUGUACGAUUCCUGGACAUCAAAAUGAUAGAUAGCAAAUCUAUUGUCUCUCAAGUACAAGAGUUGCAAGUCAUCAUACAUGAUCUCCUAGCAGAAGGUAUAUCUUUGAACAAUACCUUAGUUGAACAAAUUAAAAAUGUUCUUAAUACUCACAUAAACUGUUUUGAAGAUUUAAUUGUGAAUGAUGCUUUCCAAGUAGCAGCGAUAGUUGAGAAGCUACCACCUUUGUGGAAAGACUUCUAAAACUACUUUAAGCAUAAACGCAAGGAGAUGACAGUUGAAGAUCUUAUUGUCCGACUUCGUAUUGAAGAGGAUAAUAAAGCUACCAAAAGAAGGUCAAAGGGGAAAUCUGCAAUUAAUGGAGCACAUAUUGUAGAAGAUGACCAAAACAAUUCCAAGAAAAGAAAGAAAGCUGAACAAGGAAGCAAUCAACCCAAGAAAAAGUUCAAGGGAAAAUGCUUCAACUGUGACAAGAUUGGCCACAAGUCCACACAUUGUUGUGCCCUAAAGAAAGGCAAGAAGAAGGAUCAAGCAAAUAUGAUUGAAUCCAAUAAAGAAUGCAAUGAUCUCUGUGCUAUGUUCUCAGAAUGCAACUUGACGGGGAAUCCUCGUGAAUGGUGGAUGGAUUCUGGUGCCACCCGCCAUGUUUGUGUCAACAGAGAGUUGUUUUCAUCAUUUGCUCUGACUCAAGUAGAAGAAAUGAUCUACAUGGCUAACUCCGCUUUUGCUAAGGUGGAAAAAAUAGGGAAAAUAUGUUUAAAAAUGACUUCAGGCAAGGUCUUGACACUUAACAAUGUCUUGUAUGUUCCCGAAUUACGUAGGAACUUAAUCGUUGUUUCACUUCUAGACAAGGACGGAUUCAAAUGUGUAAUCGUUUAUGGAAAAAUUGUAAUUAGCAAAGGAGAAAUAUAUAUAGGAAAAGGCUAUCUGACCGAAGGCCUUUAUAAGAUGAAUGUAAUGACUGUUGAAAAAAAUAAAAGUUCGAAUUCUUUUUAUUUGCUUGAGUCUUAUGAUUUAUGGUAUGACGUUUAUGCCAUGUUAAUUACAAAACAUUACGAAAACUGAUUAACUUAGAAGUUUUGCCAAACUUUAAGUGCAAUAAAUCAAAGUGUCAAACGUAUGUGGAAUCGAAAUAUGCAAAGCAUCCUUAUAAGUCCAUUGAAAGGAAUUCCAAUCCCUUAGACUUAAUACACACUGACAUUUGUGAUAUGCAGUCAACACCAUCACGCGGUGGGAAAAAGUAUUUCAUAACUUUUAUUGACAAUUGCACAAGAUAUUGUUAUGUCUACUUGCCAAAUAGUAAGGAUGAAGCAAUAGAUGCGUUUAGGCAAUAUAAAAUUGAAGUUAAAAAUCAGUUAGACAAAAAAAUCAAAAUGAUAAGAAGUGAUAGGGGCGGAGAAUAUAAAUCUCCCUUUGUGCAAAUAUGUGUAGAGAAUGGAAUAGUCCAUCAAACUAUGGCCCCAUAUUUACCUCAAUCUAAUGGAAUUGUGGAAAGGAAAAACCAAAAUUUAAAGGAAAUGAUGAAUGUCGUACUUAUAAGUUCUGGUUUACCGCAAAACUUAUGGGGGGAAGCUAUCCUUACGGCCAAUUGUAUACUCAACAGAGUUCCCUAUAGUAUGACACAAUCAAUUUCUUAUGAAAAAUGGAAAGGAAGGAAACACAACUUGAAAUAUUUCAAAGUGUGGGGGUAUCUAGCGAAGGUUCAAGUUUCUAUACCUAAAAGGGUUAAGAUAAGACCUAAAAUAGUGGACUGUGUGUUCAUAGGAUAUGCUAAAAGUAGUAAAGCAUGUCAAUUUUUGGUUCAUAUAUCUGAACAUCCAGAUAUUAAUGAAAAUACAUUAAUUGAAUCAGACAAUACUGAAUUCUUUGAAAAUAUUUACCCAUAUAAAAUUAGACAUGAACAGUCUAGUGGAGGAUAUAAACUACCUUGAGAUGAACCAAGUGAGAGCGUACAUAAUGAAGAAAAUCCAAGACAUAGUACACAUCAAAGAACAUCAACUUCGUUUGGAUCGGAUUUUGUAAUAUUUCUCUUAUAAAAUAAGCCUCAAACGUUUAGAUAAGCGAUGUCGUUAUCAGACUCAUCCUUUUAGAAAUAGGCAGUCAAUAGUGAGAUAGAUUUAAUCUUAAGCAACCAUACAUGGGAAUUGGUUGACCUUCUUCCCAAAAAUAAACUGUUAGGUUCUAAAUCGAUCUUCAAAAAGAAAAUAAAGGUGGAUGGUACUAUUGACAAAUACAAGGCAAGACUUAUAGUAAAAGGAUUCAAACAGAAAAAAAGGCUUGAUUACUUUGAUACAUACUCGCAAGUAACAAGGAUAACCUCGAUUUUAAUGUUAAUUGCCUUGGCGUUGGUAUAUGAUCUUUAAAUCCAUCAAAUAGAUGUGAAAACCGCAUUCCUAAAUGAAGAUUUGGAGAAAGAAAUAUACAUGGAACAACCUGAGGGUUUUAUGGUUCUAGGAAAAAAAAUAAGGUGCGUAAACUUGUUAAGUCACUUUAUGGACUAAAGCAAGCACCUAAACAAUGGCAUGCUAAGUUUGACCAAACCAUGUUGGCAAACGGAUUCAAAAUAAAUGAAUGUGAUAAAUGUGUUUAUAUUAAAUACACUCUAAAUCACCAAGUCAUUGUUUAUUUAUAUCUGGAUGAUAUGUUGAUCAUCAAUAGAGAUAUUUCUGACAUAAAUGCAACAAAACGAAUGCUCAAGAGCAAGUUUGAUAUGAAAGACCUUGGAGUUGUAGAUGUGAUCUUAGGUAUAAGAAUCCAUCAAACUUCACAAGGGUUAGCAUUGCCACAGUCUCAUUAUAUCAAAAAUGUACUUGACAAGUUCAAGUAUAUGGAAUUCGGUAUUGCCAAGACUCCAUUGGAUGUGAACUUUGCAAUUUGAAAGAAUGAAGGUGAAAGUGACUCGCAAUUGGAGUACGCAAGAGUAUUGGGAUGUUUAAUGUAUCUAAUGAACUGUACACGACCAGACAUAGCAUGUGCUAUCAGUAAAUUGAGUCGGUACACGAGUAAUCCCAACAAAACUCAUUGGAUGGCAUUGAAAAUAGUUUUGGGGUAUCUUAAAUACACUCAAGAUUAUGCUUUGCAUUAUAAUAAAUAUCCUGCGGUACUUGAAGGAUAUAGUGAUGCAAAUUGGAUCACCGGAUCGAACGAAGUAAAAUCCACAAGUGGAUAUGUAUUUAUUAUCGGUGGAGGAGCAGUUUCUUAGAAAUCAUCCAAACAGACUUGUAUCGCUCGCUCUACAAUGGAAUCUGAAUUUACCGCAUUAGAUAAAGCCGGUGAAAAAGCAGAAUGGCUCUGGAAUUUCUUGGAAGAUAUUCUGUAUUGACCCAAGUUAGUGGCACCAGUAUGUAUACACUGUGAUAGCCAAGCGGCAAUAGGUAGGGCAGGAAGCAUGAUAUACUACGGUAAAUCUUGUCACAUACGACGGAGACAUAAUACCGUUAGAGAACUCCUCCCUAGUGGAAUUACCACUAUAGACUAUGUAAAGUCGAAGGAUAAUGUGUUGGAUACACUUACAAAAGGUUUUUCUAGAGAAGGAGUAGAAAGGACAUCCAAGGGAAUGGGUUUAAGGCCUAGGACAAGUCAGCAUGGCGGUAACUCUUCCUAGCAGACGGGAGAUCCCCAGAGUUAGGUCCAAGGAGAUCAAAAAAAGUUGUGUCUGGCAGGUUCAACAUUGUCAAUUACCCAACCCAAUCUCAUGAUGUUGACAAUGUACAGUAAACUAGGAUUAGACUUAAGGUAAAAACUCUUUUAAUGAUUAUCUAAAUUUGGCAGAUUUGACCAAAUAGUUUAAUCUACAGGAUUGAACGUUUAGAAAUCACCUAUGCGAGGGUGAAGUGGAAGCCGCUUCAAGGAGGAUGUUAGUAAAGGCCUAUUCUCUAAGCUCUCAUAAAAUCGGGACGUGUUCAUAGCUGAAAAGAACAAAAUCAUGAGAACCAUAAACGUUAAAAGGCUAGUUAUGUGACAUGUAUUGUUUAGGUGUACAAUAAAGCUCGACGAUUCAAAGAUAUCAAAUCUACCGAUUGACCGAGUGCAUCCGAUACAUGUUCACUACGGAAAGUUCAAAGGGAAACCCACUUAUCCAGAUGCAAUCAGUCUUUGCUUGAUGAUCACAUACUUGUCCAUAAAAGUUUUAUGAAAAAUAGUCAUUACCCAUUCAUGUGGGGGAUUGUUGGGUUCAUAGAAGUGUGAAUGGAAAAUGAAGGAAAAAAAUGGUGGAGAAGAGGAGACACCAAUUUGGAAAGUGUACUCCCAAAAUUGGAAAGUUCACUAAUUCUCCCACAUUGGUGGGAGAAAGGAACUUUGGAGUGUUUAUAAUGAUGAACACUUACUCCACAUGGUAAGUGAGGCAAGAAAUAAGAGAUACCUCGUGCUGUCGUCGUCGUCGCUCGCUCGGCUCGGCUUCGGAUUUGGAUUUGGGUUUGUCAAAUGAUCGAUCGAUGAGAUCUAUCUUUUUGGACAAAAUUUAUUUGAAUUUCAAAAAUACCAACAGUAAUGCAGUAAAUAUUUUCAGUGUUUAAUACUCCAUUUACAUGAUUUCAAUUUUAUUACGAAAGCAACGAAAGCAUGCAUGCAGAAGCUAUUUCGAAUGGAUGCUUCAAAUAAAUAUUUGAACUGAAGCAAUUUUUCACUGAAAUGGUGCACAGUUUCAAAACUGAACUGAUGCACUGUUUCAGUAAACUGAUGCACUGCUUCAGAACUGAUGCAUUGUUUCAAUGAACUAACACACUUAUUCACGAAAUGGCAUACCUGUUUAGAACAGUCACAAUAUUUGGACGAAUAGACAUGAAUUUUCAGAAAAGGUUACACCUUUUAGAUGAACCUUUGCCACUUUUCAGAAGAGGCAUCUUGUGGCUAUAAAAAACUGGUUUCAUCAACUGGUUUGCAUACGAAAUUUUCAUAUUAAAAACUCUCUUCUUGUCUUAAAAAUAUUCUGUGUGAUCACUCAAAACAUUCUGUGAGUUCGAAGAUAUUCCAACCGUUUGAGGUACAGCUACUGUUGGUCUGGUUAGCCAUUUUAUCCUGGGAGGAAAAAUUUCACAACCUCGGGUACAAUGAGGGGGAUUAUUUCCUUAAGGAUAAUUUGUGAAUUCGGAUGACUUGGCUAUUUUCUGUUUCAUCUUAAUUUCUGCAAAAUAAAAUACACCUCUUGAAAAGGUCAUUUUGAUCUUGUGUUGAGGGUAUUCGAUAUACUUCAUUGUGUUCUUCUUUAUACUUGAACUCAAGUUGAAGUUGUUGUUGUAAUAUACAGAUUCUGUGUACCCGAAGUACAAACUAAUUAACAUAAAUAAGUAGCGGUGAAUAUAACAAAAAUAAAAGAGGAACCUCAAUAGGUACAUAAAAUAACAAAUUCAAAUUUUAACUUUUUUCGAGGCGGUCAUUUUUAAGUUAGAAGAUAGUUCAAAAUGGUAGUAUAUCUCACACACAAAUUUUAACAAUAAUAUCUAUGUGAUUUUAAAAUAUUUUUACUAAUUCACAAUAAAAUGCACAUAAGAUGCACAUACGUCGCACAAUAUGCACGUACGUUCCACGAGGUGCACAUAAAAGCUAAUUUUAUUAAUAUAUCUGAAACUUUUUAUCAAGAAUUGACUUUAGGCCAUUAAAUUUAUUGAGCUGCUCUUGUCCAUAUAAAUUCAAAAUGAUAUAUUAAUCCUUACAAUCAAGCAAUAUUAUAUUAAUACUUAUGUACAAAGUGGAAAUAUAAAUUAUAAUGAAGAUACCCUAAAAAAAAAAGUUAAAAUAGUAAUCUAAACGUGGGAAUCAAAGUAAUUAGUGAAGUUAUUAGAACUAAGAAACCAUUUCCACUGAAUUAAAUAUCACUAGAUUCAACAAACUAUUUUUCGUUUUGUUUAGGUGAUAGAAGAGAUAAAACAUAUAAAAAAAUAACAAAGUAUUAACCUAAACAAGACAUUCAUUGAAAUACAAUUAUCUUUAUCUCUCCUUUUUUAGUUUUUUUUUUUUAAAAAGCCAUUUGUGUGCUAAUCCUAGAGGGAGUAUGUUUAUAACACAAAAAAAUCUUCGUUUUCCUUUUUCUCUAUAAUUGCACGUUGUUGGUUGUAGUUAAGAUUUUAUGAGUUACCACACUGAUGCUAUUAUAAUGUUAUUAAAACAUGGCCUUUAUUAGCUACAAUGAUGUUCAUACGUUGUAAAAAUAAUUACAAGCCAAUAAAAUCUCUGAAGGUAGGCUCUUCUAAUUACUAUUUAUACAUAUGACAACUUUUAUUGAGUAAUCAAUUCAUUCAUUUAAUUUAAACAAUAUGCAUUGUGGAUUAUAUAUUAUGGUGGGUGAAGAAAUGGAUAUGCUAGACAGUCAUAUGUUAUUUUAUUUUUAUUAUUAAGUUUAAUUUUAUCUUGUUUAACCGAACGAUUCAGUCAUAAACGAUCCCAAUAUCUAUUUAUGUCCAAUACAAUAAUUGAGGUUUUUCUUACUGUAUAUAUUUUAUUAUAAAAAAUAUAUGGAUUACCAUGUACAAAGUAAAAUUUUGAUUGAACAAAGGAUUUUACAUUUAUACUAAACACAAACCACACCAUCAAUAUAUAUANNNNNNNNNNNNNNNNNNNNNNNNNNNNNNNNNNNNNNNNNNNNNNNNNNNNNNNNNNNNNNNNNNNNNNNNNNNNNNNNNNNNNNNNNNNNNNNNNNNNNNNNNNNNNNNNNNNNNNNNNNNNNNNNNNNNNNNNNNNNNNNNNNNNNNNNNNNNNNNNNNNNNNNNNNNNNNNNNNNNNNNNNNNNNNNNNNNNNNNNNNNNNNNNNNNNNNNNNNNNNNNNNNNNNNNNNNNNNNNNNNNNNNNNNNNNNNNNNNNNNNNNNNNNNNNNNNNNNNNNNNNNNNNNNNNNNNNNNNNNNNNNNNNNNNNNNNNNNNNNNNNNNNNNNNNNNNNNNNNNNNNNNNNNNNNNNNNNNNNNNNNNNNNNNNNNNNNNNNNNNNNNNNNNNNNNNNNNNNNNNNNNNNNNNNNNNNNNNNNNNNNNNNNNNNNNNNNNNNNNNNNNNNNNNNNNNNNNNNNNNNNNNNNNNNNNNNNNNNNNNNNNNNNNNNNNNNNNNNNNNNNNNNNNNNNNNNNNNNNNNNNNNNNNNNNNNNNNNNNNNNNNNNNNNNNNNNNNNNNNNNNNNNNNNNNNNNNNNNNNNNNNNNNNNNNNNNNNNNNNNNNNNNNNNNNNNNNNNNNNNNNNNNNNNNNNNNNNNNNNNNNNNNNNNNNNNNNNNNNNNNNNNNNNNNNNNNNNNNNNNNNNNNNNNNNNNNNNNNNNNNNNNNNNNNNNNNNNNNNNNNNNNNNNNNNNNNNNNNNNNNNNNNNNNNNNNNNNNNNNNNNNNNNNNNNNNNNNNNNNNNNNNNNNNNNNNNNNNNNNNNNNNNNNNNNNNNNNNNNNNNNNNNNNNNNNNNNNNNNNNNNNNNNNNNNNNNNNNNNNNNNNNNNNNNNNNNNNNNNNNNNNNNNNNNNNNNNNAAAGUGCGGGGCGGAUUAAUUUUUUUUUUAGAAAAAUCAAACUUCUUACGUGGCUCUGACGUGGAUGUGGUAGCGAGUGUGAUGCACUCUCCCUAAUGAGAGUGGUAUUAAAUAUUAAAGGGGGAAAUUAAUUCACUUUAAAAAUGUUAAGGGGGUAAAUAAACGGAAGUUAAGUUUAACUGCUAAAGUGAGCUGGGAGGACAAGUUUAGGGGGAGUUUUGAUGCAUUUUCUCUUUAUUAAACUUAAUCUUUACCAAAAAUAUUUUUAAAAGUCAGUCGACAUUCAUCUACCAUAUGUAAAUUGCUUUAAAACAAUACAAUGAUAGAGGCAUCAAAAUAAUACGACUAAAUCUAAUUUUUACACACAAAAAUUUUCUCAAAAUCGUCUGACACUCAUCUAUCACCUGUAAACAAUAACAAAAUUAUACGAUAAUAGAGAUAUCAAAAUAAUACAACUAAACUUAUCCUUUACAUAAAAAAAAUUCCUAAAGUCGAUCAACAUUUAUCUAUCACCUGUAAAUUGCAACAAAAUAAUACGAGAAAAGUGAUAUCAAAACAAUACAAUUAAACUUAAAUUUUACAUACAAAAAUUUCUCAAAGUCGAUCGAGAUUCAUCUACGAACUGUAAACUAUCACAAACUAACAAACUAAUAGAGAUAUUACGAUAAUACAAAUAAACCUAACUUUUACCUGAAAAAAAAUUUCAAAGCCAACCCACAUUUAUCUAACAUCUAUAAAUUAAAAUAAAACAAUAAGAUAAUAAAUAUAUCAAAAAAACACAAUUAAAUCUAACCUUUACGUAAGAAAUUUUUCAAACCAACCGACAUUCAUCUACGACCUAUAAACUAUAGAAAAAAUAUAAUAGUGAUCACAAAGCUACAAAAACAGUGAAGAAGUUGAGGGUUAAAAAAUCAAGUAUCCAUCAAUCUAGACAUGCAAUCGAAUUAAGUUAGAUGAGCAUCAAUCAUAUUAUCCCAAUAUACAAACUGGUUUAUUCUCUAGUUUAACGUACAUCCCAAUACUUAUAGAAGUAUUUCCUUAAUAGAGUCCUAUUUUAGGAGUAUUUUUCUAAUUUAAUAGAAAAGAAAAUAUUAAUUAAUUCUUCUACCAUAUAUUUUAGGAGUCUCAUAUAUUUUAGGAAGUUUAGUAGAAAGGAAAAUAUUAAUUAAUUCUGCUAUCAUAUAUUUCAUGAGUCCCAUAUAUUUUAGGAAGUCUAGUUAAUAUAAUAAAAAUAAUUAAAUAAUAAAUUAAAAAAUAGUGAAAAGACAAUUUUGACUAAAGAAUGGUCUUUUAAUGAAGGGUAAAAAGUUCAAAUCAUUUUUCUAAGGAUCUUCACACUUUUAAUAUAUACUACUUUAGGUGUACGCGCCUUGCGCGUGUACCUCCCUUUAAUGAGUUCAAAUAUUAUAUUAAAUAUAAUAUUUUUUUAAAUAAUAAAGAUGAAUAUAAUAACUAAAUUUAAUAUCUUUUGAGUAUGUAAAGAUAGAGAAUUUUUUUGUUAAACCUAAUAUUUAUCAAAAAUAUUUUAAAAAUCGAUCGGCAUUCAUCUACCAUCUGUAAAUUGCAACAAAAUAAUAUAAUGAUAGAGACAUUAAAAUAAUACAAUUAAACUUAAAUUUUACACAUAAAAAUUUCUCAAAGACGAAUUCAUCUACAAACUGUAAACUACCACAAAAUAACAAACUAAUAGAGAUAUUAUGAUAAUACAAUUAAACUUAAAUUUUACACAUAAAAAUUUCUCAAAGACGAAUUCAUCUACAAACUGUAAACUACCACAAAAUAACAAACUAAUAGAGAUAUUAUGAUAAUACAAUUAAACUUAAAUUUUACACAUAAAAAUUUCUCAAAGACGAAUUCAUCUACAAACUGUAAACUACCACAAAAUAACAAACUAAUAGAGAUAUUAUGAUAAUACAAUUAAACCUAACCUUUACCUAAAAAAAUUUCAAAGUCGACCCACAUCCAUCUAGCAUCUUUAAAUUAAAAUAAAAUAAUAAGAUAAUGAAGAUAUCAAAAUAAUAAAAUUAAAUCUAAUCUUUACACGAAAAAUUUUCAAAGUCAACCGACAUUCAUCUAUGACCUGUAAACUAUACAAAAAUAUAAUAGUGAUCAUAAAGCUUCGAUUUUGAUCCAACUAAUUCUUGUCUGGUCGAAAAUUUUGAACCUAAAGAAUGAUUUUGAAUGAAAACAAAGAAGAUAUAUAUAUACACACAUGUUGAAUUCUAUUAUACUGGCGAAAAUAGUGAAGAAGUUAAGGGUUAGAAAAUCAAGCAUCCACCAUCUAGACAUGCAAUUGAAUCAAGUUAGAUGCGCAUCAAUCAUAUUCUCCCAAUAGGUAAUCGGUUUGUUCUCUAGUUUAACGUACAUCUCAAUAUUUAUAAAAGUAUUUCCUUAAUAUAAUCCUAGUUUAGGAGUAUUUUAUUUUAGGAGUAUUUUCUAAUUGAAUAGUACAAAGAAAAAUAUUAAUUAAUUUUCCUACCAUAUAUUUUAGGAGUCCCAUAUAUUUUAGGAAGUCUUGUAGAAAGAAAAAUAUUAAUUAAUUCUCUUACCAUAUAUUUUAGGAGUCCCAUAUAUUUUNNNNNNNNNNNNNNNNNNNNNNNNNNNNNNNNNNNNNNNNNNNNNNNNNNNNNNNNNNNNNNNNNNNNNNNNNNNNNNNNNNNNNNNNNNNNNNNNNNNNNNNNNNNNNNNNNNNNNNNNNNNNNNNNNNNNNNNNNNNNNNNNNNNNNNNNNNNNNNNNNNNNNNNNNNNNNNNNNNNNNNNNNNNNNNNNNNNNNNNNNNNNNNNNNNNNNNNNNNNNNNNNNNNNNNNNNNNNNNNNNNNNNNNNNNNNNNNNNNNNNNNNNNNNNNNNNNNNNNNNNNNNNNNNNNNNNNNNNNNNNNNNNNNNNNNNNNNNNNNNNNNNNNNNNNNNNNNNNNNNNNNNNNNNNNNNNNNNNNNNNNNNNNNNNNNNNNNNNNNNNNNNNNNNNNNNNNNNNNNNNNNNNNNNNNNNNNNNNNNNNNNNNNNNNNNNNNNNNNNNNNNNNNNNNNNNNNNNNNNNNNNNNNNNNNNNNNNNNNNNNNNNNNNNNNNNNNNNNNNNNNNNNNNNNNNNNNNNNNNNNNNNNNNNNNNNNNNNNNNUUAAUAUAAUAAAAAUAAUUAAAUAAUAAAUUAAAAAUAGUGAAAAUACAGUUUUGUCUAAAUAAGAGUCUUUUAAUGAAGGGUAAAAUGUUCAAAUCACUUUUCUAAGGGUCUUCACACUUUUAAUAUAUUAUAGAAUAGAUUAUAGAUAUAGAUAUAGAUUAUAGAUUAUAGAUUAUUGAUAUAGAUUAUAGAUAUAUUAUAGAUUUUAUAUAUAUAUAUAGAGAGAGAGAGAGAGAGAUAGAUAGAUACAUAGAUAGAUAGAUAGAUAGAAAGAUAGAUAGAUAUAGAUUAUAGAUUAUAGAUUAUAGAUUAUAUAUAUAUAUAGAUAUAGAUUAUAUAUAGAUCAUAGAUUAUAAAUUAUACAUAUAUAUAGAUAUAGAUUAUAUAUAUAUAUAUAUAUAUAUUUUGAAAGCCAGAUAACAUCAAUAUAUCGAUUUUAGCUUUGAAUUUAAAGUUGAUAUAUAUAAAAAUUUAACGUAAAAUGUUGAUCGAUUUUUUUAACACUUCAAAACUGCAUUUUAAUUUGCUUUGCUGGGACUUCUAUCAAUUCCGAAAUUAAUUUCUUCAUUGAUAGAAGAAUCUUCAAGAUCUAAACUUAGACAACCAUAAUAGUAUAAAUAAAAUUAUAUUUAUCCAACUUGCAUACAAUAUUUCUUUUUUCAAAUUACAGAUGACAAAACUAAUAGCAAAGGAGAUGACAGAAACAUAUACGUUUAAUUAUAAUUUAGAUAUAUUUCUAUCACAAAUAAUUAUUAUGUUUGUGUAGGUGUCCACGAUAAAAUUGAUAAUUAUCUACUGUCCAUUCUAAGGAAGGCAUAUAUUUCUUUAUUUAUUUUACUAUUUUUUUCUUUUAUUUGCUUUAAAUAUUCACCUUCAUAACUAAUAUCUGAUUAUCAAUUCAAUUGCUGCUUUUAAUGUCCAUAACUCUCAUGGUUUUUAUAUUCAUGACCUUCUUUAAUUUAAAAUUAAAACUUUGAGAUAUCUUUUGAUAUUUCUCCAUUUUAUCUAUAUAAAUCAUCUUUUUUAUUUUGUGAGCCCUCUAUCUAAUCAGAGGCAAAUCUAGGAUUUGAAGAUAGGGAGUGCACCAUUAUUUUUAAUAUGGUCAUGUCAAUUAUCAACUACAUAAUUUAACAUAUAAUUUUUUUAAAUUUAAAAAUUAUAAAAAUAUUAUGAUCAAAAGUAUAAACUUCAAAAUGAUCAAAUGACAAUAAUUUAGUACUAAUAUAACAAAAGUAGACCAUCCUUUUAUACUAGAUAUCGACGCAUUUUCAUAUUUUGAAAACGAUCAAUGAUUGCAUCGUUGCUUAUAUUUACAAAUACAUCGUUCUCAAUAUAACAAACUAAAUAAUCACUUAAAAAUACAUCACCAAUACUGCUACGCAACUCAUUCUUGAUAUACUUUAUGGAUGAAAAAGUUUUCUCUACAGUUGCAGUAGUGACUGGUAAAAUCAACGUCAACUUCACAAGUACAUAAGAGAACAAGUCUCCACAAGAUUUGCAUUAACCAGUGCUUCUCCGCCAAAUCAUCAAUUCCUUUCAAAUUAGAGAAUAUAGGAUCACCACGUCGCAUGUGUAUAAUGAAAGUAUCAAGUUGGUAACCAAGCUCUCGAAGCUUUGAUUCACCAAACUCAUCUGGAUAAUGCUUGAUCAAUAUUAUUAUUUUUUCCUUAUCAAAAUUAGCAAAAACAUUAAUUGGAUUUAAACUUUUCAUACCAAGAAGCAAGUUACCACUCACAACAUCAAAAUGAUUAUUAAGCUUUUAAAGUUGCAAGUCAAUUAUAGUAUAAAAGAGCUCAACAUGUAAAUAGUGUGAGUAACACUAGAGAAGGCCUACACUUUGACUUUUCGAGAAGAUAAAAUCAUCCAUCUUAGGUACCAAGAUUUCAUGUUUAUCACAAAAUACGCAAACUCCAUUCACCAAAGAAUCUCAUCCAUCAUCUCUCAAUAAUUGCAAUCUUCUCUUAAUAAUGUUAAGAGAUAUCAUGGCAUUGACAAUAUAUUUCUCUUUCCUUUAUAAUGAUGCACUCAUCUCAUUGGACAUCACCAAUAUUUUCAGCAUCAAGUGAAGAAAGAAAACAAAUUCAAAGUCAUUGAUCAUGUCAAAAAAACUCCUGCUUGCAAUCUUUCAUUGGGAUUAGAGCCUCCACAUUUAAUCGCAUCAAGUACAUGAGAUAUAGAUAAAAAUAAAACAAUAAAGUUAUUCAAUGUUCUAAAAUGUGAACCCCAACGAGUGUCGCUGGGUCUUUGAAGUCCUCAUUCUUGAUUUACUCCUUUUCCACUUUGAACUUCACCACUUUCUAGUAGUUGCUCCAAUAUUUUUACUUGAUGGUCCCGAAGUUGAUCUCUGAGCUUAAAUGAUGCUCCUACCAUAUUCAACACAUUUAUAAUAAUAGCAAAAAAAUCAUCCACCUACAAGUGUCAAUUGUAAUUGAUAAGCAAAACAAUAAAUGCAAGUUGUUAAUGGAAUUUUCUGCAAAAUCAAAGCUUUAAGACCAUUGAUUUGUCCUUGCAUGUUACUAGCCUCAUCAUAACCUUGUCCACAUAUUUUAGAUGUACUUAAAGAGUGUCUCAUAAGUAGAGAGCAUAUUGUUUCCUUCAAUAUUUUUGCGGAUGUAUCACUAACACAAACAAUAGUAAUAACUCGCUCAUUCACUUUACCUUUUUUGUUUACAUACCUCAACGCAACGACCGUUUGUUCAUGGUGUGAGAUGUCUUUGGAUUCAUCAACUAAAAUCUCCAUCCAAGUUAUCAACUAUAGCUUUUACGAUUUCUUGUGCACAAGCACUCACAAUAUCCUUUUGAAUUUUUGAAUAAGUCAUCAUAGCAUUUUUUGAAAUAUGUUUUAAAAUAACAUUAUUCAAAUCAGGAAUCAUUUUCUCCAGUCAUUCCAAAAAACCUAAAAAUGGCCCUUAUUUUUUAAAGAUACACUUUCAUCAUGGCCUUGAAAAGACAACCUGAAUUCCAAGAGAAAUCUUGCCAUAUUAGUUGAAUCCUCUAAAUGAGUACGGUGGACACUUCUUAUUUUCUCAGAUUGCUUGUUCAAAGCAACUUAAAUUGAUUGAGACUGAUUAUCGAAAUCUAGCAUCUUACUGAAACAUCUUCUAUAGUCGUUAUUUACUUCAUCAACAUGUAAUUGAAAUCGUUUCAAACUAUGAUUGCAAGCCUUAAUGUCCAUUUUCGUGAAAAAAUCACAUGCAUUGCCCUUUACAUAGUCAUAUUUAAGAAAAUAGCAACACAAAAAAAAUACAACAUCUUUAUUCACACUAUACUCCAUCAAUCUAGACUAUGAACCCUCAUACCAUGUCGAAUUAAAUCGAUCCAUUUUCGUUCCAAAUCUAGUUUGAGGAAAUUGAGAAAGAAUCGGUGGACAAGACGCUUGUUGAAUAUAGUGUCUUCUCACUUGAUCUCAUAUCGUAGAAUCAUAUUCAUGAAUUGAUUUUUUUUUUCAAGAUCAAAUUUAAGUGAAUUCACAUCAAACUCUUCUAUAAGAUGAGGAGAAUUAUCUUUAAAACUAGAACUUGAUUGAGGAGAAUAAUGUCUAUCAUUUCAAUUCACAAGAAUCUAUAAACAAAUUCGUACAAAACAAAAAAUUCAUCAAGAAUAUAAGUAAGCAUAACAAUGUUAAUGGGGGAAUCAUACCCUUCCUUUCAAAGCACAUAACAAAUAAAAUAUAAUAGAGAAAUCACACCAUUACAAAAAGAAAAAAUAAACGCAAUACUCUCAAUAGGAAAAUCACACCCCACUUUUCAUAAAAUAAUAAAAAUGAUAUGAUAUGUAAUGAAGGAAUCACACCCUUAAAAAAAUUUAAGUAAACGCAAACAAUUUCAAUAAGGGAAUCACACCCCUCCUCGUAAAAUAAUAAAAAUGAUAUUAUAUGUAAUGAAAGAAUCACACUCUCUUCUUUCAUAAGAAAAAUUAAAUAAAUAUGACAUUUUCAAUUGAAGAAUUACACCCCUCUUUUUAUAGCAAAACAAAAAUAAUAUGUAACGGAGAUAGAGAAAGAGUCUAACUUGUGUUGCUGUCUGUCAGAAUGAUGAAUUUUGUGUUGCCGCCAGUCGUGAUAAUGACUGUAGUAGUGUUUUCCAUGUCUGCAUAUUCUAACGUAUUUUUGCUAAGCUUGAAGAGAAUUUGGGAAAAUUGAAAAUUUUAGAAAUUUGGGGGGAAUGGAUAUUGUUGGUAGUUUUGGGCUUGGGAUUGGGGAAUUGACAUUGAUUUAUUAAAUGAGUUUUGGGCUUAGGAUUGAAGAAUUUGUAUGAAUUUAUUAAAUGAGAAUAUAUAUUAAAUUUAAUUUAAAGUAAGGGUCGGGGCAUAGGGCCAUAUGAGGUGGUAAAGGCACACAAUUAAAUUUUCAAUUGAAGAAUUAUACCCUUUUUUUAUAGCAAAACAAAAAUAAUAUGUAAUAGAGAUAGAGAAAGAGUCUAACUUGUGUUGUCGUCUAUCGGAAUGAUCAAUUUUGCGUUGCUGUCAGUCGUGAUGAUGAUUGUUGUAGUGUUUUCUGUAUCUACAUAUGCUAAUGUAUUUUUGCUUAGCUUGAAGAGAAUCUGGGGAAAUUGAAAAUUUGAGGAAUUUGGGGGAUAUUGAUAUUGUUGGUAGUUUUGGACUUAGGAUUGGAGAAUUGACAUUGGUUUAUUAAAUGAGUUUUGGGCUUGGGAUUGGAGAAUUGACAUGGAUUUAUUAAGGGAAAAGUACACAGAUUCCACGAAAAUGACCAUGAUAUUUAAAUUUUAUUUUCUAGCCAUUUCAAUUUUCUAGCUUGUUCUAUAUAGUUUCUACACACCCUUUAUACAGUUUAUAUACAUUAUCUUAUAAAUAUAAAUAUUCUAUACAAAAAUUAUAUAAUUUUGAUACACAAUUUAUACAAUAAUUAUACAACUUUUUUACGCAUUUUAUACAAUAAUUAUAUAUUUUUAUACACAUUUUAUAUAAUAUUAAUAUAUAGAUACAUAUUUUAUAUAACAAUUAUACUGUUUUUAUAUAAUUAUAUUUAAUUAUCAUUUAAAAAAAAAAAAGCAGUAUAUUUUUCAAUUAAAAAACUUGUAGAAAAAAAACUAAAAUAUUUUUAGUAAAUGGCCAAAUGGCCCAAGUUGGAAAGGCUGAAAAUGACUAAAUGUCUAAUGGCCAUAAAGUGGCAAAUGUUUUGCCGACAAGACACAUAAUGUCCAUAUGUCCAAACAUGGGCUAUUUUUUAAAAAAAUGGUUACACCAUGUCCUUUUUUCAUUUAUUAAAUAAGAAUAUAUAUUAAAUUUAAUUGAAAGUAAGGGUGGGGGCAUAGGACCAGAUGAGGUGGUAAAAGCACACAAUUAAAUGGUUGGAGAAUUAAUUGUAAAGACAAACUAAAAAGGUACCCUUGCUAGGAAUCAAAGUCACAACGUCACGGGCCAGAAACCUUUUCUCCACGUUCUGAACCAGUGCACCCAGAUAAACUUUGUUAUUAUGAUUGCACAAUUUAAUGUAGUACCACUUUAUCACAAUAUCUAUACAUAUAUAUACGAUUUUAUAAAAAAAGUUAUUGGGUGCACGUACACCCUCACGGAUCCAUGUGGAUCCACUUCUGUACCUAAUUAAGGUUAUCUUUUUCAUUCGUUAGUUAAGUAGUGAAACACGUAUAUCAUUAUUGUACUAUUUAAUCAUACUUUAGUUUGACACGAUAAAAAAAACUCUUUAAUUUUGAUUAAUAUUAUGAGAGAGGGUGUCAAAAAGAACUCAAUAAAUUAUGUACUGAUUUUUUAUUUCAUUUUUCAUCUAUAUUGUUACGAAUAAAGUUGUAAGGAUGUGUACGUUGUAUAUAUUUUUUUCUCUAUUUUUAUUUUAUAUAUUUUCUCUCUAUUAAAUUUCUUUAAAUUAUUUUUUUUUAAAUUUCUGAUUGUAGUAAGUUUGUAUUUGUAUUUGAGCUCAAAUUAAUCAUUUGCGAUUUUAUUGAAAGCUUGCUAACUACUAGUCAAAGUCCACAAUUUUCGAUUGGUUGCUCAAAAUUAGGUUUUAAUUUAUAUAUUAAAAUAUAUUUUUAUUUAGUGUUUAUUGUCAUACUUUAAAAGAUUUAUUUGUAAUUAUAUGCAUUUUAUUACUCAUUACACAUCUAUAUUUAUAAAAUUUAAAUUACUUUAAUGAAUCUAUUAAAAUCUAUGUGAGAUGCAGUUACACGUGUUCAGAAAUUAGUAUAGAAAAUCUGCAAAAGCAUUGAGCUAUUGCAACCUUAAUUUAAGUAGACUAAUCAAUUUAUUAGCAUAGAAGAUUUCUCCCUGUCACAUGCUAACAAGUCUAUAACCUGGCGCAACUAUAUCACUACAAGAAAAGUGCUUAUUACUUGAAGAUUUUUACAGGGAUAAUGUGGUAAAAUCAUUAAGAAAUUUGAUUACCUGCUAAUUUUCUUACCAAUUAGAAUACAAAGGAAAUACCUUCAUAGGAAAUUAUUACUUGCGAAUUUAUGAAAUCCCUAGGUAAUUUAGUUGCGGAAAUAAAUCCGCAGGUACAUUAUUUGCGGAUUUAUUUGUGAUUAACUAUUAAAAUUUUAUAUGAAUUAUUUGGUAAAAUUUCAUUAAAAAGGGAUUUUACCUACAAAUUUCUACGAAAAAAUUCACAAAUUAUUCUCCACGAAGGUUCUCAAGUAAAUCCAAAGGAAGUUUAGAGGUGAAAAUUCUUAAUUAACAAAAGAAAAUUUCUUGCGGAUAUUCAUCAAACUAUUUCGCAAGAAAAUUCGUAAGAAAUGCCCCAAGUAAAUCCGCAAGAACAAAUUUUCUCAAGAAAAUUUUCAUGAAUAUUUAGCAUGUACAUCCCCAUGGAAAUUCCCAAGUAACAUUUCACACGUAAAUUACUAAAAAUAUUUCACAAUUAGUCAAAAAUGUAUUCAAAACCUCCAAUAAGUCUCAAAAACACCAUUUAAUACAAGUCUAAUAUAAACCAUUACAGCUAACAAAAAAAAAAAACAUAAUUCAUAACAUCCACAUUAAUAAUAUAUGAGUCUUCAAUGGUCCAAAAUAAAAUAUUUCAAACUUGAAUCCUCAAUAAAACUACCAACCAUCAGGGUCGGAAUCACUUUCAUCCACGUUAUCAGGAUUAGAAUCACUUUCAUUCAUGUCGUCAAAGUCAUCAUCACUUUCAUCCUCAUAAGCUUGUUGUCUUCUUGAGAUGAGUGUUCAUCAUUUGAAGAUGAUUUCUUGUAUACAUGUUUUAUCAACAAGUUCAAUACCUUUCUCAUCCUCCUUCCACAAUUGAUACACUUUGAGCAGUAAUAUUUCUUGUUUCUUUCUUUCAAACUCAUUCUGCGUAAGAAUAUGUUAAUUCAGGCCAUAAAAAGUGCUAAAAAUAUAUUAUUCGCAUAAAUUAUAUGACAUUAUAGUAUCAAAUAAAAUCAUAACAAUCAACAAAUAUAAACAUGUAUAUAUUAGCAUAUAAAGCUUCAUAAACCCAAAGUUGAUUUUUUUAAAUUAUUGUGACUAUUGUUAUGACUUGUUCUAUUAAGAUAACAGGGGAUGAAAUUAGAAGAAUGAGAGAACAAGAGGAAGGAUUCAAGUGGUACCACGUAUUUAACACUUAGUGUGAAGAAAAAUCAUUUCUUAUUUGUUAAAACUCCGUACUCAGUCAAAUAGUCAAAUGGAUUAUACAAGGUACACUGCAAUGGAUUAUACAUUGUUAGGUACACUGCAAUGGAUUAUACAAGAAGAUUUACUCAAUGAAAAAUUCUUAAAGCAGAGAUCUUUUCAUAUAACCAAACAGAUUUAUUUUGUAACUAUACUUUAUUAUUUUCAAGUUAUUAGUACACAUUUCAAGUGACUAGACUUAACCAUUUUCAAGUCACAAAUUCACAAUUUCAAGUAACUACACUUAAUCAUUUUUAAGUCACAAGUUUGCAAUUUCAAGUAACUAAAUUAUUUUCAAGUCACUACACUAAAUAAUUUUUAAAUAACUUAUUCACAUUUUAAGUCACUAGUACAUAUUUCAAGUGUAACGACCUAAAAAUUUAACGAAAUGUGUGAAAUUUGUAAUUUUAUAUGAUUUGACUAUUUUACCCCUCUCCGUAGUUGUAUUAUGGUAUUUUUGGAGUGUGGGAGUGGUUGACAUAAUUUUUGAUGUAUUUUGAUAUCAUUUAUGCAAUAUUGUGAUUUUUUAUGGCUUCGAGAGCCUUAUUUUGGACCAAUAUGGAUAUAUUUUGAUCCGUGCGAUGGAUGGCUAAACGGACUGCGCCAGCAGCUCCGGAAUAUCGACUUUAGGCUAGGUAGAUCUUUGGUUCGGAUCCCGGUGCACCCGAGCUCAUUUCGACCUAUUGAUUGAAAAGUUGAAAAAUUGAAAAUAUGGAUGUGGGACCCACAUUUGAUCGAAAUGACUUUGAAUGAAAAAUCUGACUUUGCCAGCAGAUCCAAAAUGUCAAUUUUAGGGUGUUAGCAUAUUUAGUAUAAUUUUACGGCUUUUAAAUAUCAUUUCGACCCUCGAUUUGAAAAAUUAUAAUUUCGGAUUCGGAGGUCAACUUUGUGAAAAUGAUAUUUUUUUAAAAAUCUGAUAUCACCAACGAGUCCAGAAUAUCGAAUUUAGUAUGACUGCAUAGUUUGUUUGCAUGUAUCAGACUCCGAACGAAUCUCGAACACCCCGUCGAAGUCCGGAGUGGACUUUAAAAAAAAAAAAGCAGCUAUUGCAGAUUUUUCACUUUUUGAUCCAUUUUGCUCAUUUUUCAUGUUGCUUCUUGAGAGUUAAACCUAAAUAGUUUGGGAGCUUAAAGGUGAAGCUUGUGGGAGCUUGAGAAGAUAGAUUAACAUCUAUUUCUUAGUUUUAUUACAGAUUUAAGGUAAAAAUUCACCAUUUUCCUUAGUUAUUUCUUGAUAAAUUUCUUAAAACCUCAAAAAUCUUAGAGCAUGAUUUUAAACCCAAAUUUCACUUGUUUCGCUUGAAAAAUAUUUUUAUCUUAUAAUUACUAGUUUUUCAUCAAUUUAACCUUCAAAACAACUCUGAUUCUUGAUUUUUAACCUGGAUUUAAAGGAUUUUAUCCGGUAAAAUUCAAAAAUGAUUUUUCUUCGAUUUGAACUUCAUUUUUGAAUCAAUUUAACUUGUUUUUUUAGCUGUAGGUUCCUAAAAAUAUGGGGAACAUGUUUUUGAAGUAAAGUUUUGAUUUUGCCCUUCUUUAUCGGAAAUUCAUUUUGGGGGUCCGUUUUGACCCCGAACCAAAAGUAGUCAAUAUAAGUGUCGUUGGUUUUGUUUUGACACAUAGAUUUCAUAUUUGAUGUUUUUAGUAGAGUUUGAAAUUGUUCAUGAAAAGUAAGAUCGCGGGUUCAAGUGUAGCGGAUCGAUUUCGAUUUUCGAGGUAGGUUAUGGCUUAACUCUUCAGACUGAGAUGGGUAGUAAAUGAUGGUACAAAAUCCAUGUUAAGGGUGGGAACUAAUCAUGAAAAUGGCUAUCUAUGUGUUGUGCCCAUGUGGGGGCCUUUGUGUGAUGUAAUUAUCGAAAUUGAGAUAUUAUGUGAUAUGUUUGACCGUGUGGGGUCCUAUAUGAUAUUGAUAGCCUUGAAUACACGUGAAUAAUUAUAUUGUGUUGUUUAAUGUGGUACCAUUGGUGUAUUGUGAUUAUAUUCAUACUUAUUGGCAAAUGAGACAUGUGAAAAUUCAUGGAUGAUAUGAAAAUAAUGAAUGAAUAUUGGCUCAUGUGGUUGUGGGAAUAUUUCAUUAUGGUUGGUUGUGGAAAUAUAUCAUGUGAUUGGUUGUGGAAAUACUCAUUUUGAUUGGUUGUGAGCAUUACAUCUUCAUAUCAUACUCAUUCAUGAAACAUUUGUACCACCAUGGAACAUCUGAGAAACACUGGCAACACCUUUUUUAAAAAAAUAUUGUAACACCUUAUAAAACCCUUUCCGAGGAAUAUGCCAGAAAGGAGAUAUGAGAUAUGUGGAUUGUAUACAGGUUGACGAACCCCCCAUGGGUCCUACGUAGGGAAGCUUUAGCUCCGUAGGUGUAUACGGGGAUUGUGCGACGAUCCCGGAGGUUGUGCGACGAUCUUGUACAUCAUCAUUAUCAUCAUCAUAUACAUUGCACUUACUCUAUUGUGUUUAUGUUGUGUAGUAUCGUCUUAUUGAAUUGUCAUCUAUGUAUUUUCUUUUACCUUCCUUUACUUGUAUUUGAUGAUCUUGUAUCUACAUGUUCUCUCUUAUUCUAUUUAUAUAUGACAUAAUGUAUACUUGUGUUCUAAACCUUGGUGUGUUGUUGUAAUAAAUAUGAGAUAUAUUAAAACUGUUAGUGCAAGCGGUGUGGGCUACUGUUGUAGGACAUCUUCUAAUUGCAGGUGACGUGUCCUUAGUGUAUAUUUUGUAUGCUUUAUUUACUACUUUGCUUGGUCGGCCUAUGAUACCUAUUGAGUACAAGUGGACCGUACUCAUGCCUACUGCGCCCUUUUGGUGCAGGUCUUAGCUCGAGUGCGCCUCAUCUUGAUUGACUCAGGUGAUUGUUGGAGCUUCCAAGGUAGCGGUUGGACAUUCAUGUGUCCGAAGUUCACCUCUAUCUUUCUAUAAUUGUUAUGUCUUUAUUAGUAUUCGGAGACAGUUAUUAUUUCUUUGUGGUUAUUUUUUUGAUGCAUUUGACUCUUGGAUUGUAUUAGUAGUUCUUACACUAUUGACACUUGAUUUUGGGCAUGAUUGGUAUUUUAAAUAAGUUCUUCCGUAUUGUUAUGAUUACUUAUAUGGUUCGGCUUCAUUCUAGAAGCUUUACAAUGGAAUAUUCUGUCUUUUCUUCUUGUUGUAUCAGUUUGGGUGAUAGGCUUACUUGUCAAGAUACGCCACGACAAGUGCCAUCAUGACCCUUAUUUUUGGGUCGUGACAUCAAGUCACUGCACUCAAACCAUUUCAAAUAGCUAAUUGACAUUUCAAGUCACUAUACUUAAUCAUUUUCAAGUAACUACACUUAACCAUUUUCAAGUCACUAGUACACAUUUCAAGUCACUACAGAUCAUUUUCAAGUAACUAAUUCACAUUUCAAGUCACUACACUCAACCAUUUUCAAGUCACUAGUACACAUUUCAAAUCACUACACUUAACUAUUUUUAAAUAAUUAAUUCACAUUUCAAGCCACUAUACUUAACCAUUUUCAAGUAACUACUUCACAUUUCAAAUAAUUAUACUUAACUAUUUUCAAGUAACUACUUCACAUUUCAAAUAACUAUACUUAGUCAUUUUCAAGUCACUACACUUAAUCAUUCAUUUUAAGUCACUAUACUUAACCACUUUCAAGUAACUAAUUCAUAUUUCAAGUAACUACACUUAACCAUUUUUAAGUCAUUAGUACACAUUUCAAGUCACUAUGCUUAACUAUUUUCAAGUAACAACGCUUAACUAUUUUCAAGUUACUAGCAUACAUUUCAAGUCACUACACUUAAUCAUUUUAAAAUCACUAGUAUACAUUUCAAGAUACUACAUUUAAUUAUCUUCAAGUCACAAGUUCAUAAUUUCAAGUAAUUUAGUUCACAUUUCAAGUGACUACACUUAACCAUUCUCUAAUCACAAGUACACAUUUCAAGUCACUACACCUAACCAUUUUAAAGUCACAAGUAUACAUUUCAAGUAACUACACUUAAUCAUUUUCAAGUCACAAGUUCACAAUUUCAAAUGACUACACUUACCAAUUUUCAAAAUUCACAUUGCAAGUAACUGCACUUAACCAUUUUCAAGUCACUACUACACACUUCAAGUCACUGCACUUAACAAUUUUCAAAUAACUAAUAACAUUUUCAAGUCACUAGUACACAUUUCAAAUCAUUACACUUAACUAUUUUCAAUUAACUAAUUCACUUUUCAAGUCACUAUACCUAAUUAUUUUUAAGUAACUAUACUUAAUCAUUUUCAAGUAACUAUACUUUAUUAUUUUUAAGUUAUUAGCACACAUUUCAAGUGAUUACACUUAACCAUUUUCAAGUCACAAGUUCACAAUUUCAAGUAACUACACUUGACCGUUUUCAAGUCACAAGUUUGUAAUUUCAAGUAACUACACUUAAUUAUUUUCAAGUCACUACACUUAAUAAUUUUCAAAUAACUUAUUCACAUUUCAAGUCACUACACUCAAACCAUUUUCAAAUAGCUAAUUGACAUUUCAAGUCACUAUACGUAACCAAUUUCAAAACACACACACUACCAUUUUCAACUCUCUAAUUCACAUUUCAAGUGACUAAACCUAACAAUAAUAAUAAACGCUUGAUCCUAAUAACUUAUUCGGGACCUCCACUUAAGGAUAAAAAAAAAUCAUAUUCAUCCCACCAUAACCCUCGAUUGUGAACAUAACUUCUGACAAUUUGACAAUAGUUACAAAUGAGUGGACUUUCAUGAAUUUGAUAUUUUGCUUUGAGUCUCGAUAAUUUGAACAUAUUUCACGAUUUAUGGAUAGAAAUUUGAAUUAAAACAUCGAGUAUACAUCAGUGUAAUCCUUAAAACAUGGAGUAUGCAUCAGUGUAAUCCAUAAUUACGUUGAGGUUUUAUUCUUUCUUCUGGGGAUCUUUAAUUUCCCAACUGCAACAACAAUGUCAACAACUUUGAAACUUCAAAGAAAAAGACAAUUUUCAGAAUCUAUUUCAUAUUUUCUUUUCAUAUUUACAUGUUUUCUUAUUUAAAUUAAAUUUUGGUCUUACUUUUCCCUUUCAAAUUUAAACAUGUAAAUAAGUUUUCACUUUUCAUUGGCUCUGUAAAAUUGUCACAAUUAGUAAUAUUUUUUCCGUUAUAAAGAGUUACCUUGCCUUCUUUCGAGCUGAUGAUCUAUCAAAACCAGUUUCAUUAUUUCAACAGAGGUAGUCUUAUCACUGACUCCAUUUGUAAUAUUUAUAAAGUUACACUAAGUUUAUUAUUUCACAUAGGUAUUCUUAUCGAGUCUCUAUUAUGAAACUACACUAAAUUUAUUGCUAUUUUUGUAGAAAGUAACUUUACCUAAUUAAUCAGCUAAUUGAUAAUACACAAAUAAUUACUUUCUAACAACGAAAUCAAACUGUUAAUGUGAAGGUUUAGUGUAAUUCAAGGGUAGUAUGUAAAAAUUUAAUGUAUUCCAAGAACAAAUUUAAUCAGGAGAUUUACCUUAUGGAGGAGGGCGUCUGUUGUCGGCGAUACCGGUGGUGUGGACGACUGGUUGGUUAUUGGCGGUUGUUGUGGUUGUCGGCGGCGUUGGUGCGGACAACUUGGUUGUCGUCGAUGGUGAUGCGGAUAGCUUGGAAAUUUCAGCGGCUGUGAAGGUGGCCGGAGUUUAGAGAGAGCAAGAGAGGAGAUGCGGAUGAAAGUUUUUUGAGUGAGUUUAGGGUUUUG
RNAcentral lists this long non-coding RNA (66657 nucleotides) under Capsicum annuum. RNAcentral describes it as "long non-coding RNA (CANN_LNC001481)". The record is from RNAcentral. Lineage: Eukaryota; Viridiplantae; Streptophyta; Magnoliopsida; Solanales; Solanaceae.